CUUUAUAGAUAAAGGUAACUUAGAUUGGCAGGGUGUAGUAAGAAGUGUGCUUUUUACAAACAUGAGGGAUUUGUCCAAUAUUUGUUCUUUGACUAUUAGUUCACGCAUUUUGCGUUGCGUGUGGUCAGAUCCGGCAUUCUCCAUCAGAGAGCACUACUCAUAUUUUUGCAAUUAGCUCAUACCGGUGGCAUCUCCAUCAGAGAGCACUACUCAUAUUUUUGGUAAUUAGCUCAUACGGGACCUAAAAGAUUUAGGGAAAACUUAUUAAUUGGAGCGGACGAGUGGCCACAUGUUGGGCAGUCAAGGUGUGGAGCCUCGCUGCGAACCUGGGUGCGACUACUGCGGCAAGAGGGCAGGGGAAUGGCCCUCUCAGCGCAUACAAGGUUGGACAUAGCCAUACGACUGCUUUUCAUGAGCUAUGGUUGGCAGUUUAGUUUGUUAGAGUUAUCUUCGUGAUGCCUUUUGGCUUUUGUAUUCUAGUCUCUUGGCAUCCUCUUGUAGCCUUUUGGCAUCCUCAUGUAUGUGUAUAUAUCUGGCUUUGUCCUCAUAAUAAUAUACGUUACUAUUCCUCUAACAUCAACAUGGUAUCAUGAGCCUAGGUUAGGGAUCUUUUUUGUGGGUGCCUCAACACGCCCAGACGAUCGGCUGUGCUGCUCCAUGCCGCUGCUGCUUCCCCGCCCUCGUGAACAGUCCAUCUGCUGCCGCUACUCCCACCCACCCCUCUGGAUCGAGCCGAUACUCGACUUGCUUCCCGUCGCUGGCCGCCUCUGUCAUUCGCCGUAGGACCAUCUUCAAUCACUGGUUCCCGCCGUCGGCCGCCUUCAGAUCGGGGACGCCUGGUUGUUGUUUGUGCGUCUCGCACUUUAGAUCGAGCCACCGAGGCGUGAGCCAGGCGCCAUCGAGGCCUGCGACCAACCUGGUCUGAGCAACGAGCCGCUCUUGCUCGCUCCCGCCUCAGCGCCCCUGCCGUCGAUGCACAAGUGGAGCACCACGUUCCUCCUGGAUCGAGUCUCGACGCUUGCUCGUGGUCCCGCGUCGACCAGAUCCAGCCUCGUGGUAGCACCGGAGACCCUGCCGCUCCCCGCCAACCGUCGUCCGGCUGUCACCGCCUACCGCUCGGCCUGUCGCCGCCAGCGUCGUCCAUCGGCCGCGUUCGCCGCCAUCCACCGGUGCCAUCCGCCUGUCGCCACCGACCGCACAUCCGGUGUUGCUGACUUCCGCGGGUGAACGUGUGUGUGUCUGUGUGGCGUGGAACUGCGACUGGUUCCAAUACAGUUCGUGAUCUAGAUCCAGAUUAUAUUCCUAAAAAAAGUAAAAAAAAAGUGGGGUGUGAUUGUUAGGAAAGCAACUUAUGUUUAUUGAGGGCCAAGGGGCAUAUAUAUAUAUUACACAAGACUUGAGGUGCAAGGAAAGUAAACAUAAACUAAAAAGCACACAAUAUGAUGGAGUCAUGUGCACCAGUACAACCGAUGAAAGUCGCGAGAGGUGUCGAGAAAGAGCGACAAUCAUCAUAUGUGAAGCUCACAAGAGAAGCAGCAGUAAAGAUACCACCACAACCUGCGGAAGACGCCGAAAGAGACGGCGAUACAAACGAACGAGCAUCAAGCGUCGAGGAACAACCCAGAUGCGAGACAGGAGCAGCAGGAGCCACCAGGCAGCAAGGGACAUGCAGACCCGAGAGGAACAUUUUUUUUUGAACACUAUCAACCGAUGAUGAACCACCAGAAAUAGUACAGCACCAUGUCACACGUGUGCACAACAGCCGUUGCAGGCCAGCACCAAGGCUAACCAAAGCAGUUUAUGCCCAGGUCAACGGACGAUGCAGCCCCGAACGGAUCUCAAUGGCCAUGCACUGACGGAUGGUCAGGCAUAGAUCGCAGCGGCAGCUGACGAACGGCGGCCGGACGGUGCCGGACGCGGACAGCGGACGGACGGCGGCCAGACUGUGGCGGAGUCGGACAGCGGCCGUACGGCUGCGGAGGCCGGAGGAUGCGCGCGUCAGCAGCGCAGGAGUCCGUCCCAAUCCAAGCAGCGGCGUCCUGCAGCAGCUUGAUGGGGAAACAGCCGGAGGACAGGCUCAAUCUGGAGCAACACACCGCCGGCUGGGGGCACGAGAUCCAGCGGGAUGAGGCGGCGGCGGCUGGAGGCGGAGAAGAGCCCAGGACGAGCCGUCCCUGCUCAGAUCGAGCAGCAGAACGAGGCAGCGUGGAGCGCGUGAGAUUGGAUCGGGAGGGCGAGUUGCGGCGCCCGAAAAAAAUAACCUAAGCUCUAAUACCAUGUUAGGAAAGCAACUUAUGUUUAUUGAAGGCCCAAGGGGCAUAUAUAUAUUACACAAGACUUGAGGUGCAAGGAAAGUAAACAUAGACUAAUAAGGACUCCUAGACUAAUACUAAUAGACUAAUGAGGACUCCUAGACUGAUACUAAUACUUCCUAACAAUGAUGUCUUCGUCGUCGGCCUACGUCAUUGUCCCUCGCUUCUCGGUGAUUUUUGAUGGGGCUAACUAUGCUGAGUUUGCUUUCUUUAUGCGCAUUCACAUGAGUGGUAUUCGUCUUUGGGGCGUUCUUUGGCAAGGUCCCGUGUCCGCCGUGCCCAGUUCCUCCUGUGGCUCCUAUCCCACCGACGCCACAGGUUCUUCCCACGGGUGCUUCUGAGGCUGAUAGGGAAGCAGACAGGAUUGUUGAUGAUGAUGUAGAGGCUGCUUAUAAUCAACAGGUUUUGGAUUACUCGAAUGCUCUUUCCUUUUAUCGAGAUAAUUUGAUUGCCAACACUCAGUGGUGUGAUGAUGAUGCCCGUGCUGCGGCUGUCCUCACUUCCAGUGUGCUACCUCAGUUUGCUUCUGAGUUUAUGGGGCUCAAUACUGUCUUUGAGAUGUGGACUCAUCUUCACCAGCGCUAUCAGCCCUCUGGUGAUGCUCUCUACCUAUCUGUGGUCCGUCAGGAGCAUGCUCUUCAGCAGAGACUCCACUAUUGAUGAGUUCUACACUCAGAGUUCUGCUAUCUGGCAUCAGCUUGACUCUCUUUGCUCUCGUGUUUGUGUUACUUGCCCAUGUUGUCAGACUGUCAGGUUAGACCUGGAGUUUCAUCGCGUCUACGAGUUUUUGUCUCGGCUCCGUGGAGAGUUUGAGCCUCGACGUGCUCGGUUGUUUGCUCGUGGUCGUGUGCCUAUUUUGGAGGUGCUUUCUGAGCUUCGUGCCGAGGAGACUCGCCUCGGUGGAGCUGGUUUAAUUCUGGUUCCUUGUAUGCAUGCUACCCGAGCUACUGCUCCAUCAUUGUUUUCUCGCAGCAGUGCUCCACCGCUAUUGCCCACUCCUUCUGCUAGUGAGGCUCGCUCUUGUGACGGUCGCUCUCGUCCUCAUACUCAUUGCGGCUACUGCAAUAGGGAUGGUCACCACGAGUCUAAUUGUUUCAAGAAGAAGCGUGAUAUGCGUAAUAGGGAGCGCAAUUCUUCUUCUGGGAUUUGAGCUUCUUCCUCGACAAUGUCUACUCUCCUUGACUGAGCAGGAUAUUGUGAAGCUUAAGCGUCUACUUGCCGCUUCAGGUUCUUCGGCGGGAACUGCAGGCUCUGUGACUCGUGCUUCUAGUGUUGAGCAACCACCGUCUACACAGUCAAGUACAUCCCCAUGGGUUCUGGAUUCUGGAGCUUCAUUUCAUAUGUCUUCUGAUUCUUCUGUCUUGUCCUCUCUUAGACCUCUCAAUUGUCCUAAUAAUGUACCUACUGCUGAUGGUACUCCUCUUCAUGUUGCUAGUCGAGGCACUCUUUUCACUUCUUCAUUUUAUGUUCCGAAUGUUUCUCAUGUUCCUCGCCUUACCAUGAACCUAUUUUCCAUAAGUCAGCUUACUGAUUCUGGUUGUCUGGUCAUUCUUGAUUUUGAUUCUUGCACUGUCCAGGAUCGUCAUACGAAGGCUCUGGUUGGGCUGGCCCUCGCUGCCUUGACUCCGAGGGGCUUUGGGAGUUAGACUAGCUUCAUGUUCCUUCCGCUGCCACCACACUCGCCAGUACAUCUGCCUUUGCCGCUUCAGCUACCAGCUCCUCCCAGCAAUGGCAUCAUGGACUUGGUCACCUUUGUGGUUCUCGGCUAUCAUCUUUAGUUCGACGUGGUCUUCUGGGGCCUGUCUUAGGAGAUCGUCUCUUUGCAUUGUCAGUGUUGUAGGGUUGGUAAACAGGUUCAGUUACCUUAUCCUACUAGCGAGUCAGUGUCUCAACGCCCUUUUGAUUUAGUUCAUUCCGAUGUGUGGGGACCAACUCCCUUGGCUUCCAAAGGGGGGCAUCGAUACUAUAUUAUUUUUAUAGAUGAUUUCUCUCGCUGCACUUGGCUCUACUUUAUGUCUUCUCGUAGCGAGGUUCUCUCUAUUUAUAAGCAUUUUGCCGCCAUGGUCCAUACUCCGUUCUCUACACCUAUUCGUGUGUUCCGUGCUGAUUCUGCUGGCGAGUAUAUUUCCAAAGUGUUGCGUGGUUUUCUUGCUGAGCAGGGAACUCUUGCUCAGUUCUCUUGUCUAGGUGCUCACGCUCAGAAUGUCGUGGCUGAGUGCAAGCAUCGUCACCUUCUUGAGACAGCUCAUGCUAUGAUGAUUGUUGCCUCUCUUCCGCCUUAUUUUUGGGUUGAGGUUAUCUCCACUGCUACAUAUCUCAUAAACAUUCAACCCUCAUCUGCUCUACAUGGAGGUAUUCCUCUAGAGCGUCUUUCUAAUCAUUCUCCUGAUUAUUCUGCUCUUCGGUUGUUUGGUUGUGUUUGUUAUGUUCUCCUUGUCCCUUGAGAACGCACUAAACUAACAACUUAGUCUGUCGAGUGUGCUUUUCUGGGCUACAGUGAUGAGCAUAAGGGUUAUCGGUGUUGGGAUCCUAUCGGUCGUCGGAUGCGUAUUUCUAGGGAUAUGACUUUUGAUGAGUCUUGUCCAUUCUACGCACGACCAUCCUCUUUAACCUUUUCAAUAGAGGAUAUCUCUUUUCUCAUGUUUCCUAAUAGACCUCCAUCUGUGCCACAUAUUCCUCUACUCCUUAUUGUCCCACUAUUGCAGAUCCAACAUCGUCUUCUCCUAUGGUUUCUUCUCCUCCCUUGUUGCAUGUCACUCCACCUUCAUCACCGAUGUCUUCUCCAUCUCCAUCACCUCCGGCGGUUCCUUCUCAUCCCACUUUUCCUUUUCAUUAUACCCGUCGUCGACGUGUUAUGGAUGAAUCUACUGACGUGCCAUCUACUUCUGAUGUGUCGUCUUCCUCCCAGCCGACUUAUGGUCUUCAGGCUCGGCCUUGCCCUCCUCCUGACCGCUAUUCUCCUAGCCGAUAUGGUCUUUCGGUUGUACUUGAGCCUACUUCUUAUCGUGAUGUUAUUGUUCACCCUGAAUGGCAGUUUGGGAUGGCAGCACUUGAGCGUAACGGCACAUGGGAUUUGGUUUCUCUUCCUCCCCGUGUUCGCCCCAUCACUUGUAAGUGGGUCUAUAAGAUUACGACUCGGCUCUGAUGGUUCUCUUGAGCGUUAUAAAGCUCGUCUUGUGGCUCAUGGCUUUCAGUAGGAGCAUGGUCGUGAUUAUGACGAGACUUUUGCUCAUGUGGCCCAUAUGACCAUUGUCUGCACUCUUCUCGUUGUGGUCUCUGUUCGCCACUGGUUUGUGUCCCAGCUUGAUGUUAAAAAUGCAUUUCUUAAUGUGAGUUGCGUGAGGAGGUUUAUAUGCAGCCACCAUCUGGAUAUUCAGUUCCCGAUGGCACGGUAUGUCGUCUUCGUCGCUCUCUCUAUGGCCUUAAGCAAGCCCCUCGUGCUUGGUUUGAGCGCUUUGCCUUUGUGAUCACUGAUGUUGCUUUUCGCCCAAUGAUCACGAUCUAACGUUGUUUGUCCACCUUUCUGCUCAUGGUCGCACUCUUCUUCUUCUAUAUGUUGAUGACAUGAUCAUCACUGGCGAUGAUUCUGAGUAUUACCUUUUUCAAAGCCCGUCUUAAUGAAUAGUUUCUUAUGUCUGAUCUUGGUCCUCUUUGUUACUUUCUUAGGACUGAGGUUUCCUGCACCUCUGAUGGCUUUUUUAUUUCCCAAUAAGAGCAUAUCCAUGAUCUUCUUACUCGUGCGGUUCUUAGUGAUUAGCGCACUGCUGAGACUCCUAUGGAGCUCAAUGUUCACCUUCAUGCUUCUGAUGGUGAGCCUUGACUGAUCCGACGCGUUAUCGUCAUCUUGUUGGCAGUCUUGUGUAUCUUGUUGUCACUCGUCCAGAUAUCUCCUAUCUCGUCCAUAUUCUGAGUCAGUUUGUUUCUGCUCCCACUUCAGUUCACUAUAGUCACCUUCUUCAUGUUCUAUGAUAUCUUCGUGGCACAAUCUCUCAUCGUCUACUUUUUCCCCGUUCUAGCUCGUUACAGCUCCAUGCCUAUUCGAAUGCUAUGUGGGCUAGUGAUCCUACAGAUCACCGUUGACUUUCUGCCUAUUGUGUCUUUCUUGGUGAUUCUCUCAUUUCCUAGAGGACGAAGAAACAGAUUGCAGUUUCUGGUUCGAGUGCAGAGGCCGAGUUGCGAGCUAUGGCUCUUUUGACAGCAGAGGUAACUUGGUUACGAUGGUUGCUAGAGGAUUUUGGUGUUUCUGUUACUACACCUACCACCCUCCUGUCGGACAGCACAGGUGCUAUCAGUAUUGCGCGAGACCCCGUGAAGCAUGAGCUUACCAAACAUAUUGGCAUUGAUGCUUCUUAUGUGCGCGCUGUUAUGCAAGAUUAUGUUGUUGCCCUUCAGUAUGUGCCUUCUGGGUUACAGCUAGCGGACUUCUUCACAAAGGCUCAGACUAGAGCACAACAUGGAUUUCACAUCUCCAAACUCAGUGUUGUGGAUCCACCAUGAGUUUGAGGGGGGGUGUUAUAUCAGUGAUGUCUUUUGGCCUUUUGUAUUCUAGUCUCUUGGCAUCCUCUUGUAGCCUUUUGGCAUCCUCAUGUAUGUGUAUAUAUGUUGGCUUUGGCCUCAUACUAAUAUAUGUUGAUAUUCCUCUUAACAUCAACAUAGUUUUGGCAUGUCACCGAAGUAUCACCACAUUUUAUCUUUUGCCGAACCUUUUUAUCCAAUAUCUUGGUUACUGGACUGUGUAACCGUUACCACAAACAUAGUUUCAGCGUUGUAAACUUUUAUGGCUGUGUGCAUCCUGGAAGCAGAAACAUACUAGAGCAAUAAAAAGUUCUGUUAUCUAAAAAUAUAAUUAGUUAUUCAUCUUAGACAAAUAUGGUGAACAAUUUUAGUAAAUACAGGAAUCUAAUUAAAUUAUCAGGCUAUAAUAAUACUCCCUCUAUUCCUAAAUGCAGUGCGCAUAAAAAAAUUCAAAAGUCAAACUUUCUAAACUUUGACUAUGUUUAUAGAGGAAAAUAUCUACAUCUAUAAUAUUAUAUAAAUAUCCUUAUAUGCACCAUUAAACAUAUAUUUAUAGUAUUUUUAUUUGGUAAUAUUUUUGUUGACACUUUUCUGACUAAACUUGGUCAAACUAAAUAAUGUUUGACUUUUACAAAAUAUUAUGCUCACUACAUUUACGAAUAGAGGGAGUAAUACCCAUAUGCCUAUACUAAAUAUUAAACCCAACUCAAUCCAAUAAGCACAUAUGACAAAACUUAUUUUUAGCUAUAGCAACUUAUACUGUUAUAGAAGACCUUGUUUCUAUUUCUUAUAAAUCACAUAAUUAUAUGAAAAUGGUAUACAGAAGGUUAAGUUAAUAAAUAGUAUAGGUAAUGAAGGGAAGAUUAUAAGUAAAUGGCAGGAGUGUACUAUUGUAAAUUAGUGGUUAAUUAAAGAAUAUAGUAAGGUGUUUAAUUUAGCUCUUCCAUAUAUGUCCACAUAGCAAGAAGAAAGGCACAAUCUGUGGACAGAUGCAAACAAACAAAGCCACAAUCUGUAUCACCAGUAUAGUGUGAGCUUAUACCUGCUCUGUUGGUGAACUUCUGGCUGCAUCAAUCUUAUUUAGUUCAUCGAUAAUGGUAGUAUCAAUCUUAUUCAAUUCAUCCACAACCUCGGCUAUAGUAGGCCUUUUCACUCGGUCAGCCUCCACACAUCUUGAUGCUAUUUCAAUGCAUUUCUUAACUCCAUCUGAUGUCUGUGACAACUCAGUUGUCUGCAACGCCUUUUCCCAGUUCUCAUGUACCUGCGGAAUUGAGACAUAAUAUGCUGGAAGGUGACACAUAUGCACACUGGUAAGUGGACAGAGCAUAAUAUUUGGGGGGGGGGGGGGGGGGGGUUUUUGGUUAUGAACUCACGGUGUUCCUAUAAUUCCUUUUGUGGAAUAGGUUUCUGUUGAAUCGAAGAGUCUGGACAGACCAAAAUCUCCUAUCUUUGGCAUCAUAUUCCUAUCCAGCAAUAUAUUUGCUGGUUUCAAGUCCAGAUGGAAAAUCGAUUCUUUUGAUCCAUUGUGAAGGUAAUUUAAUCCUUCACAGAUUCCUUUAAUGAUUUUGUAACGCGUGUGCCAACCAAAUCCACACGAUUCAUCUGCAGAGGUAACAGAAAUAUGUCACCAGGCCUUAACUUGGGGAUCGUUGCAUUCAUACNNNNNNNNNNNNNNNNNNNNNNNNNNNNNNNNNNNNNNNNNNNNNNNNNNNNNNNNNNNNNNNNNNNNNNNNNNNNNNNNNNNNNNNNNNNNNNNNNNNNUCGAGUCUUUUUUCUGCGAGUGAUUGGACUCGUGCCCUUCUUGUUCUGUUCUGGACACAGCAGGGAGCAUCUCAGGCGCUAAGAUCAUCUCCAACAGUGGCGGUAAAAGACGCGGGGAAAUGUGAAUUUAACGCUGGCGGAGCGGUUUGGUGCGUUUCAUUGGACGCGGUCCGGCGCGCUAGCUUUGGCGCGUGGCGUUCUACGCGUUUUAUAAAUUUAACGCCCCUUUACGCGCCUUUCCACCGCUCUGUGCCUCGCCAAACGUCCUCUCAUCGCUCUCGCUGCCGCUCUUUCUCAUCUUUGCUCGCCUCGCCGUCGCUCCACAAACGAUGCUUCCUAAAGAGGAGCGACACCGUGAUGCCGCCAUCAUCUGAUCUGGAAAACCAGAUCCUAGGGUUUUUCCUGGAGCAGCACGAGUGGAUCGACCUCCUUGCGCUCGUCCAUCCAAACACGAAGACUCUGUAAGAUCUGUCGUGCGUAGCACCUGCCGAACAGGCAUGACAAAACGUAGCACGUGUCGACCAGGCAUGACCUGACAUCACCACCGAAGCUCCGUGCAGGACGAAGACGCUCCACCUCCUGCCUCUGUGUUUCAGUGCUGCUCCACAAACGAUGCUCCCUAGAGAGGAACGACACCGCAAUGUCGUCAUUGUCCGAUCUGGAAAACCAGAUCCUAGGGUUUCUCCUGGAGCAGCACGAGUGGAUCGACAGUAGUUACAAGAUGAAGCCUUCAUCAAGGUAACGGCGCAUAACGCCGCCAUAGUCCGUCGUUGGCUCGGUUUUCACCGGCAACUAUGUCUCCCCGACUCGCAGCCAGUACCGAAUCCCGCGACGAGCCCGGUCACGGGAUCCCAAGAUCCGCUGUCACCGGUGGCGCCACAAAGACCCACCACCUGGCCUGUCAUCCCCGGCGGAGGGGACGCCGCCACCAUCAUGGUCGGAUCCGGGUUAGCCGUCGCCACCGCCAAGACCGGAUCCGGGCUGAACGCCGCCGCUGCCACCACCACCGGCCACGCCCAGCCCCACCUUCAUCUUCUAGCCACGUCCAGCCGACUGGCACGCCACGCCCAGCCAAUCUAACGAGGAGAAGGGAAAUCCCCGCCGCGGCCUACACCGACCGGAUCGGCGACGCGGGCCAGGCUUUGCCCCGCCGCGUCCUUAGGCGGCGGCGAGGAAGGAGAGAGGGAGAGGAGGCUGCUGGAGGUGGCGGAUGGGGAGCCCUCCCCGUCGCCAACGGAAGCGACGUGGGAGGGUCAGGUGCGAUCUGGUCAGGUCAGUUCGCUGCACCUCCUUUAGGCUUGAAAAUCAAAAGUGUUUGCUUGUACUUUAGCUAAGCAAUUUGGUUUUAAUACACCUCUUAGUGAGCUUUUCAGUUGUGGGCAUUUUCUUUUUGCCUCUUGUUGUGUGUUGAUCGUAUCUCAAGAAUAACUUUGUUCCCAAACUGUUGUAGAUGCACUUAUGCCUUUUCUAUCUCAUUUAGUUCUUAACAUGUCAAUUUAUGAAAUUAUAUAUACAUUAAAGCAAACUCAUAGUUAUGUACGGCUUACUACUUAUAUGCUUUUAGCAGUUAUCCUCUCCGCACUUGGCUACCCAGCGUUUACCGUAGGCACGAUAACUGGUACACCAGAGGUGUGUCCUUCCCGGUCCUCUCGUACUAGGGAAAAGUCCUCUCAAUGCUCUAACGCCCACACCGGAUAUGGACCGAACUGUCUCACGACGUUCUGAACCCAGCUCACGUACCGCAUUAAUGGGCGAACAGCCCAACCCUUGGAACCACCUACAGCUCCAGGUGGCGAAGAGCCGACAUCGAGGUGCCAAACCUUCCCGGGUUUAAACCCACGGUUAUGUAUUGGGUUUAAAUUGGUUUGGAUGGAAAAAAUAGUGGGUUCAGUUUUGGUUAGGCUGAAAAUGACAUUAAAUGGGUAUGGUACAAGUAUGGUUUUGGAAAAUAAAUGAACGGGUAUGGUUUAAGUAUGGUUUAAGUAUGAAAUCAUUCUCAGGUUUAUCUCCAACAGCGGCGGUACAAAUGUGGGUUUAACGCUCGCGGAACGGUUUCGUGCGUUUCACUGGGCGCGGGAGAUUCCGACGCGUGGAAGAUUCCGGCAGAAAAAGAUCACGUACGCGUGAAAAAACGGUCUGGCGCGCCCUAGCUUUGGCGCGGGGUGUUCGACACACUUUAUAAAUUUAGCGCCCCUCCACGCACCCUCCCACCGCUGUGUGCCUCGCCACGCGCCCUCUCACCGUGCGCUUUACAUUUUGUUUUUGCAUAUAAUAUGUAUCACGCGUUUUAAAUUUUAGCGCUUCUAUUGGAAUGGUGCGUGCAUUUUUUUUCAGCGCUCCGUGGCGCGCAAAAAAUUGCUAUUUCCGUGUUGUAAACUUAUUUUAGCGCGUCGCCCGGUUGCCUUCCUGUUGAAGAUACUCUAAAUAAACCACGCGCUAAAAAACCUGUUAUAUGUUGAAAGUAGGGCUUCAGCAGUCAUUUUAUAAUGUCACGCGUAGUAAACACGAAAAACUACAUGGCAUGCGGCCUAUUUGGUGUGCGUGCUCUAACGCGUUGGACAAGCGAAUCUCGCAUGCGAACCACCAACCGCCACCUGAUAGCUCCGGUCGCUCCCGUCUUCGCCGGUGAAAUUUCUGUGAUGGGCGUCCGCGCCGACAUCUCCCAACCCCUCCCUACGCCCGCGACCAAUAUGUCGCCGCGGCAAACCCUUUGCGCGGGGUUGACCUCCGGUUUCGCUGCUGGCGAAGCACCGACCUUGCGCGCGACCUUUUCAUGGCGCCCCGGACGAACUCAUAAGGUACUUCGCGCCGCCGCCUCAUGACCCACAAGUGUAGGGGAUCUAUCGUAGCAUUUUCGAUAAGUAAGAGUGUCAAACCCAACGAGGAGCAGAAGGUACUGACAAGUGGUCUUGAGCAAGGAAUAACUUGAAGUACUGAAAUGUAACUUUUUAUGGGUUUUCUGAUAUAAGAAAGCGGAAAUAAAUGCAAUAAAAGUAAAUGAUGCUGAGGUGCAGCAAGUGGCGCAAUCCUUUUCAACACGAAGGAUAAGCCGGUGGAAUGAACUUAUAAAGACUAAGACGUUUCUGAGAACAUAGGGGAGAGAUAGUCAAGUGCUUUCGCCAUAUUCUCUAUAGUAGCAUGUUUUGUAUUGAUAAGUGUUAUGUGGGUGGAUCUUAACUAGUGCACCGUCUAGGCUAAGACAAUACACUCUUAUGUUUAAUCCCUCUUGCAAGCGUCCACAAAUACAAGAGAGAAAUUAAGGCAAAGCCUAACCAUAGCAAUAAGCUUUAGGAUCCAAUACUCCCUCAUGCAAAAGUAUGCGAACUCGGGUACCCACCAUAAGCAUUCUUUAUACACGAUGCAUUCCCCUAGGUCCUUAAAAAGGCGAAGUGUUAUGUAGUCGACGUUCAUAUAACAACACUAGAAGAAUAACACCAUAACUUAAAUAUCAAUCAACACAUAUUACUUCAACAUCAUAUGACUACUAACAUCUAGACUUUUCCCAUGUCCUCAAGAACUAAAGGAACUACUCACAAGACAUAAAAGAGAUCAUGAUCAGAGGUGAUAUGAAUAUGAUAAACAAUCUGGUCAUAGCAAUAAUUCUCCAACAAAACUCAAUAGCAUUCACCACAAAAGUGUAAUCAACACCGGUAGAGUAGGGGGGAUGAAUAGUGCAAGGUACAACUUCGAUUGAAAUGGUAAGGUGAGAUAGGUGAAGAUGGAGAUGGUGCUGGUGAUGGUGAUGAUGAUCUCGAUGACGCGCGUGACGAUGGUGAUGAUGAUGGCGACGAUCUCCCCUUCCGGGAGGAGUUCUCCCCGGUGGAAACUGCCCGCCAGAAAGGUCUUUUCUUCUUUGUAGGUUUCCGCCACGGAGCGGCGGCGCAAUCACGAAAACUCUAUGCUCCCCGUAACUUUUAGGUCACGAGGGACAUAUAGGCCAAAGGAGAGCGCCGGAGGCGGGACCCACUGAUACGUCCAUUUUGUAUCAUGUUUUCACGUUGAUAUGUAUCGCUUCUUUGGCUGUUAUUUCACUUCACCGUACUAUUCUUAUGCCUUUUCUCUCUUAUUUUGCAAGGUUUACAUGAAGAGAGAGAAUACCGGCAACUGGAAUUCUGGCCUGAAAGUGGAGAAAAGUUGAGAUACAUAUUCUGCGCAACUCCAAUCGCCGUGAAAAUCAACGAAGAUUUUUUUCCCAAUUUAUAAAAAAUACAGGGCCGAAGAAGUGCCAGAGGGGCGCCACGGGGUGGCCACAAGCCUGCACGGCGCGGCCACCCCCCAGGACGCGCCAUGGGGGCUUGUGGGCACCCUGCUGGACCACUUGCCCCCCUCUUUUGCUAUAUGGAGGGUUUCGUCCAGGAAAAAAAUCAGAAGGGAGCUUUUUUGUGGUUUCGCCGCCGCCACGAGGCUGAACUUGACCAGAACCAAUCUAGAGCUCCGGCAGGACGAUCCUGUCGUGGAAACUUCCCUCCCGGAGGGGGAAAUCGUCGCUAUCGUCAUCACCAACACUCCUCUCACCGGAGGGGACUCGUCACCAUCAACAUCUUCAUCAGCACCAUCUCAUCUCCAAACCCAAGUUCAUCACUUGUAACCAAUCUCCGUCUCACGACUCUGAUUGGUACUUGUAAGGUUGCUAGUAGUGUUGAUUACUCUUUGUAGUUGAUGCUAGUUGGAUUACUUGGUGGAAGAGUUUAUCUUCAGAUCCUUGAUGCUACUCAUUACACCUCUGAUCAUGAUUAUGAUUAUGCUUUGUGAGUAGUUACUUUUGUUCCUGAGGACAUGGGAUAAGUCAUGCUAAUAACAGUCAUGUGAAUUUGGUAUUCGUUCGGCAUGUUGAUAUGUUGUAUGUUGAUUUUCCUGUAGUGGUGUUAUGUGAACGUCGACUACAUAACACUUCACCAUUAUUUGGGCCUAGAGGAAGGCAUUGGGAAGUAGUAAGUAGAAGAUGGGUUGCUAGAGUGACAGAAGCUUAAACCCUAGUUUAUGCGUUACUUCAUAAGGGGCUGAUUUGGAUCCACUAGUUUAAUGCUAUGGUUAGACUUUGUCUUGAUUCUUCUUUCGUAGUUGCGGAUGCUUGCGAGAGGGGUUAAUCAUAAGUGGGAUGCUUGUCCAAGUAAGGGCAGUACCCAAGCGCCGUUCCACCCACAUAUCGAACUAUCAAAGUAACGAACGCGAAUCAUAUGAACAUGAUGAAACUAGCAUGACAGAAAUUCCCGUGUGUCCUCGGGAGUGUUCUUCCUCCUAUAAGACUUUGUCGAGGCUUGUCCCUUGCUAUAAAAGGGAUUGGGCCACUUUGCUGCACCGUUCCUACUUUUGUUACUUGUUGUUUUCUACGAAUCAUCUCACCACACAAUCACUUAUUACCGACAAUUUCAGUGCUUGCUGAAAACCACUUGUCAGAUCCUUCUGCUCCUCGUUUGGUUCGACACUCUUACUUAUCGAAAGGACUACGAUUGAUCCCCUAUACUUGUGGGUCAUCAAGACUCUUUUCUGGCGCCAUUGUCGGGGAGUGAAGCGCCUUUGGUAAGUGGAACUUGGUAAGGAAACAUUCAUAUAGUGUGCUGAAAUUUGUUGUCACUUGUCACUAUGGAUACUAAUCCUUUGAGGGUCUCGUUCGGGGUAUCUUCACCUUGAAGGGAAGCACAAAGAGUUGCUCCUCAACCUGCUGCACCUACUGAAAAUAUUUGCUUUGAAUUUCCUUCGGGUAUGCUUGAGAAAUUGCUGGCUAAUCCUUUUACAGGAGAUGGAACAUCACAUCCAGACUUGCAUCUGAUCUAUGUAGAUGAGGUUUGUGGUUUAUUUAAGCUUACAGGUGUGCCCGAGGAUGAGGUCAAGAACAAGGUCUUUCCUUUAUCUUUGAAGGAUAAGGCAUUGACAUGGUAUAGGCUAUGUGAUGAUACUGGAUCAUGGGACUACAAUCGGUUGAAAUUGGAAUUUCAUCAAAAGUUUUAUCCUAUGCAUUUAGUACAUCGUGAUCGGAAUUAUAUUUAUAAUUUUUGGCCUCGUGACAGAGAAAGCAUCGCUCAAGCUUGGGGGAUGCUUAAAUCAAUGCUAUAUUCAUGCCCCAAUCAUGAGCUCUCGAGAGAAAUUAUCAUUCAGAACUUCUAUGCUCGGCUUUCUCAUGAUGAUCGCACCAUGCUUGACACUUCUUGUACCGGUUCUUUUAUGAAGAGAGAUAUUGACUUCAAAUGGAAUUAAUUAGAGAGAAUUAAACGCAACUCUGAAGAUUGGGAGCUUGAAGAAGGUAAGGAGUCAGGUAUGAAUUUCACUUUUGAUUGCGUUAAAUCCUUUGUUGAGACAAAUACUUUUUGUGAUUUUAGCGCUAAGUAUGGACUUGACUCUGAGAUAGUAGCUUCACUGUGUGAAUCCUUUGCUGGUCAUAUUGAUCUCCACAAAGAGAAGUGGUUUAAAUUUCAUCCUCCUUUAGAAGUCAAUGUAGUUAAACCCACUCCAGUUGAAGAGAAAGUCAUUGCCUAUAAUGAUCCUUUGGUACCCAGUGCUUACAUUGAGAAACCACCUUUCCCUGUUAGGAUAAAGGAUCAUUCUAAAGCUUCAACUGUGAUAUGUAGAGGCUAUAUUAGAACACCUACACCCUCUGAGCAAAUUAGAGUUGAACCUAGCAUUGCUAUUAUCAAAGAUCUUAUGUCUGAAGAAGUUGAGGAACAUAAUAUUUACUUUUGUGAAGAUGCUGCUAGAAUUGCUAAACCUCAUGCUAGAGACAAACAUAGGCCUAUCGUUGGCAUGCGUGUGGUUUCUGUUAAGAUAGGAGAUCAUUGUUAUUAUGGUUUAUGUGACUUGGGUGCUAGUGUUAGUGCAAUACCUCAAUCCUUAUACGAUGAAAUCAAAGAUGAGAUUGCACCUGUUGAGAUAGAGCCUAUUGAUGUCACUAUUCAGCUUGCCAAUAGAGAUACUAUUUGCCCUGUGGAAUUGUUAGGGAUGUUGAAGUCUUAUGUGGUAAAACGAAGUAUCCUGCUGAUUUCCUCGUUCUUGCUACCGCUCAAGAUAGCUUCUGUCCCAUCAUAUUUGGUAGACCUUUUCUCAAUACUGUUAAUGCUCAUAUUGAUUGUGGGAAGCAAACUGUCACUGUUGGCUUUGAAGGUGUGUCACAUGAGUUCAAUUUCUCUAAGUUUGGUAGACAACCUCAUGAAAAGGAGUUUCCUAGUGGGGAUGAAACUAUUGCCUUAGCUUCUAUUGUCGUACCUCCUACUGAUCCCUUAGAGCAAUACUUGCUUGAGCAUGAAAAUGAUAUGCAUAUGGAUGAAAGGGAUGAAAUAGAUAGAGUUGUCUUAGAACAAUAUCCUAUCCUUAAGAAUAAUCUGCCUGUUGAACUGCUCGGGGAUACACCCCCACCAAAGGGUGAUCCUGUGUUCGAACUUAAACAGUUGCCUGAUACUCUUAAGUAUGCCAAUCUUGAUGAAAAAGAGAUAUAUCCUGUUAUUAUUAGUGCUAGCUGAUACGUCCAUUUUGCAUCAUGCUUUCAUGUUGAUAUUUAUUGCUUUGUGGGCUGUUAUAUUACUUUGUGGUACCAUAUUUAAGCCCUUUCUCUCUUAUUUUGCAAGGUUUAUUUGAAGAGGGAGAAUUCAGGCAGCUGGAAUUCUGGACUCUGAAAGGAGCAAAUCUUAGUCCACUAUACUGCACAUCUCCAAAUGCCCUGAAAAGUUACGUGGAUUUUUUUGGGAUUAUAUAAAAAAUACUGGGAGAAAGAAGUACCGGAGGGGGCUGCCAGGGCGCCACAAGCCCUGCCACCGCCACCCAUUGGUGGCGGAGUGGGGGCUUGUGGGCUCCCUGACGGCCCACUAGCCCCCCUCUUUUGCUAUAUGAAGGGUUUUGGUCCAGAAAAAAUCAUUCGGGAACUUUUUCGUGGUUUCGCCACCGCCACGAGGUGGAACUUGAGCGGAUCCAAUCUAGAGCUCCGGCAGGACAAUCCUGUCGGGGAAACUUUCCUCCCGGAGGGGGAAAUCGUCGCCAUCGUCAUCACCAACACUCCUCUCGUCGGAGGGGAGGCAUCUUCAUCAACAUCUUCAUCAGCACCAUCUCCUCUCCAAUACCUAGUUCAUAUCUUGUAACCAAUUUUCGUCUCGCAACUCCAAUUGGUACUUGUAAGGUUGCUAGUAGUGUUGAUUACUCUUUGUAGUUGAUGCUAGUUGGAUUACUUGGUGGAAGAGUUUAUGUUCAGAUCCUUGAUGCUACUCAUUACACCUCUGAUCAUGAUUAUGAUUAUGCUUUGUGAGUAGUUACUUUUGUUCCUGAGGACAUGGGAUAAGUCAUGCUGAUAAUAGUCAUGUGAAUUUGAUAUUCGUUCGGUAUUUUGAUAUGUUGUAUGUUGUCUUUUCCUCUAGUGGUGUUAUGUGAACAUCGACUACAUAACACUUCACCAUAUUUGGGCCUAGAGGAAGGCAUUGGGAAGUAGUAAGUAGAUGAUGGGUUGCUGGAGUGACAGAAGCUUAAACCCCAGUCUAUGCGUUGCUUCGUGAGGGGCUGAUUUGGAUCCACUAGUUUAAUGCUAUGGUUAGACUUUGUCUUAAUUCUUCUUUCGUAGUCGCGGAUGCUUGCGAGAGGGGUUAAUCAUAAGUGGGAUGCUUGUCCAAGUAAGGGCAGUACCCAAGCGCCGGUCCACCCACAUAUCAAACUAUCAAAGUAACGAACGCAAAUCAUAUGAACAUGAUCAAACUAGCAUGACAUAAAUUCCCGUGUGUCCUCGGGAGCGUUUUUCCUCCUAUAAGACUUUGUUCAGGCUUGUCCCUUGCUACAAAAGGGAUUGGGCCACUUGCUGCACCGUUGCUACUACUUGUUACUUGUUACUUUUUGCUUGCUACGUUUCACCUCGCUACACAAUCACUUGUUACCGCUACUUUCAGUGCUUGUAGUUAUUACCUUGCUAAAAUCCGUUUAUCAGAGCCUUCUGCUCCUCGUUAGGUUCGACACUCUUACUUAUCGAAAGGACUACGAUUGAUCCCCUAUACUUUUGGGUCAUCAAGACUCUUUUCUGGCGUCGUUGCCGGGGAGCGAAGCGCCUUUGGUAAGUGGAAAUUGGUAAGGAAACAUUUAUAUACUGUGCUGAAAUUUAUUGUCACUUGUCACUAUGGAAACUCUUCCUUUGAGGAGUUUGUUCGGGGUAUCUUCACCACGAACGGAAGCACGAGGAGUUGUUCCUCAACCUGAGGUACCUACUGAAAAUAUCUUUUAUGAAAUUCCUUCGGGUAUGCUUGAGAAACUGGCGGCUAAUCCUUUUACAGGAGAUGGAUCUUCACAUCCAGACUUGCAUCUAAUCUAUGUAGAUGAAGUUUAUCGUUUAUUUAAGCUUGCAGGUUUGCCCGAGGAUGAGGUAAAGAAGAAAGUCUUUCCUUUAUCUUUGAAGGAUAAGGCGUUGACAUGGUAUAGGCUAUGUGAUGAUACUGGAUCAUGGGACUACAAUCGGUUGAAAUUGGAAUUUCAUCAAAAGUUCUAUCCUAUGCAUUUAGUACAUCGUGAUCGGAACUUUAUUUAUAACUUUUGGCCUCGUGACAGGGAAAGCAUAGCUCAAGCUUGGGGGAGGCUUAAAUCAAUGCUAUAUUCAUGCCCCAAUCAUGAGCUCUCGAGAGAAAUCAUCACUCAAAACUUUUAUGCUCGGCUUUCUCAUGAAGAUCGUACCAUGCUUGAUACUUCUUGUACUGGUUCUUGUAUGAAGAAGGAUAUUGAUCACAAGUGGAGUUUAUUGGAGAGAAUCAAACGCAACUCUGAAGAUUGGGAGCUGGAGGAAGGUAAGGAGUCACGUUUGAAUUUCCAGUUUGAUUGCGUUAAAUCUUUUGUUGAGACAAACACUUCUAGAGAUUUUAGCGCUAAGUAUGGACUUGACUCUGAGAUAGUAGCUUCUCUAUGUGAAUGUUUUGCUGCUCAUGUUGAUAUUCCCAAAGAGAAGUGGUUUAAAUAUCAUCCUCCUGUAGAAAGCAACAUAGCCAAAACCAAUCUAGUUGAGGAGAAAGUCAUUGCUUUUAGUGAUCCUGUUGUUCCUUGUGCUUACACUGAGAAACCACCAUACCCUGCUAGGAUAAAGGAUUAUUCUAAAGCUCCAACUGUGAUACGUAGGGGUUACAUUAGACCACUUGCACCCCCUGAGGAGAUUAGAGUUGAGCCUAGUGUUGCUAUUAUCAAAGAUCUCUUAGCCGAAGACAUAGAUGGGCAUGUUAUCAAAUUAUGUGAGGACUCCGCUAGAAUUGCUAAACCUCACGCGAAAGGCAAAUACGGACCUGUAAUUGUCCUGCCCGUUGUUUCUGUUAAGAUAGGAAAUCACUGUUACCAUGGUUUAUGUGAUAUGGGAGCUAGUGUUCGUGCAAUACCCCAUUCUCUAUAUGAUGAAAUCAAAGAUGAGAUUGCACCUGUUGAGCUAGAACCCAUUGAUGUCACUAUCACGCUAGCUAAUAGAGACACUAUCUGCCCUCUGGGAAUUGUGAGAGACGUAGAAGUCCUGCUAAGUAAGACGUAGAAGUACUGGGAAUUGUGAGAGACAUAGAAGUCCUGUGUGGUAAGACGAAGUAUCCUACUGAUUUCCUCGUCCUUGGUACUGCACAAGAUAGCUUUUGUCCCAUCAUAUUUGGUAGACCCUUUCUCAACACUGUCAAUGCUCACAUUGAUUGCAUUAAGCAGACCGUCACAGUUAGUUUCGAGGGUGUGUCUCAUGAAUUUAACUUCUCCAAGUUUGGAAGACAACCCCAUGAAAGAGAGUCGUCUGGUAGGGAUGAAAUCAUUGCUCUUGCAUCUAUUGCCGUACCUCCUACGAAUCCUUUAGAGCAAUAUCUUCUUGAGCAUGAAAAUGAUAUGCAUAUGGAGGAGAGAGAUGAGAUAGAUAAAAUUGUCUUAGAACAAUAUCCUAUUCUCAAGAAUAAUCUGCCUGUUGAACUGCUUGGGGAUCCUCCCCCACCAAAGGGUGAUCCUGUGUUCGAGAUUAAACAGUUGCCUGAUACUCUUAAGUAUGCCCAUCUUGAUGAGAAGGAGAUAUAUCAUGUCAUUAUUAGUGCCCUCCUCUCAAAGCACGAAGAGAAGAAGUUACUAAGAACUCUGGGGAAGCACUGUGCUGUUAUUGGAUAUACUCUUGAUGAUCUUAAGGGUAUUAGUCCUACUCUAUGUCAGCACAAGAUUAAAACCGAUCCUGACUUUAAACCAGUUGCUGAUCAUCAAAGGAGAUUAAAUCCUAAGAUGAAAGAGGUCAUUAGAAAAUAAAUAUUAAAGCUUCUGGAAGCAGGAAUCAUUUAUCCUGUUGCUCAUAGUGAUUGGGUAAGUCCAGUACAUUGCGUACCUAAGAAGGGAGGUCUCACCGUCGUUCCUAAUGAUAAGGAUGAACUAAUCCCACAAAGGAUUAUUACCGGCUAUAAGAUGGUGAUAGACUUCCGGAAACUUAACAAGGCAACUAGGAAAGAUCAUCAUCCUUUGCCGUUUAUCGACCAAAUGCUAGAAAGGCUAUCAAAACACACACACUUCUGCUUUCUAGACGGUUAUUCAGGUUUAUCGCAAAUACCUGUUGCGCAAUCUGAUCAGGAGAAAACCACUUUCACCUGCCCCUUCGGUACCUUUGCUUAUAGACGUAUGCCUUUUGGCUUAUGCAAUGCACCUGCCACCUUCCAAAGAUGUAUGAUGGCUAUAUUCUGUGACUUUUGUGAAAAGAUUGUCGAGGUUUUCAUGGAUGACUUCUCCGUUUACGGGUCUUCCUUUUAUGAUUGCCUCAGCAACCUUGAUCGAGUCUUACAGAGAUGCAAAGAUACCAACCUCGUCUUGAAUUGGGAGAAGUGCCACUUUAUGGUUAAUGAAUGUAUCGUCUUAGGACACAAAAUUUCUGAGAGAGGCAUUGAAGUUGAUAAGGCUAAGGUUGAUGCAAUUGAGAAAAUGCCUUGCCCCACAGAUAUCAGAGGUAUACGAAGUUUCCUAGGUCAUGCUGGUUUCUAUAGAAGGUUCAUUAAAGACUUCUCUAAGAUUUCUAGGCCUCUUACCAACCUCUUGCAGAAGGAUGUUCCUUUUGUUUUUGAUGAGGAUUGUGAGGAAGCUUUCGAAAUACUUAAGUAGGCUUUGAUAACCGCACCUAUUUUUAAACCACCUGACUGNNNNNNNNNNNNNNNNNNNNNNNNNNNNNNNNNNNNNNNNNNNNNNNNNNNNNNNNNNNNNNNNNNNNNNNNNNNNNNNNNNNNNNNNNNNNNNNNNNNNAUCAGCCGUAGACCUUCACUUCGUGUGAUCAGCCGUUUGAUGCUGAGGAUUGGAUUCGCGACAUGAACAAGCACUUUGAGUGCAGCAAUGUCCGUCCAGAGGAUCUCGUCAAGUUUGCUACAUUCUAGCUGAAGGGGCAAGCAUCGAUCUCGUGGUAGCAGUUGAAGGAUUCCAGGGGUGCCAGAGUGAUCACUUGGGAUGAGUUCUGUAGAGACUUCAGGUCCCACUAUAUCCCAUAUAGCUUUGUGGAGGAGAUGCGUGAGAAGUUCAGGCGCUUGAAGCAAGGUGGUAACUCCGUGUACAAGUACAACGUCGAGUUCCACGAGCUAGCACGAUAUGCCUUGCACGACAUUCCAGAUCAGAAGAGCAAGAUCUAUCAGUUCAGAGGUGGUCUAAAAGAGGAUUUGCAGCUAGCCCUCGCUUUGCACGAUCCUGAGGACUUCGAUAAGUUCUACAACUUGGCUCUCAGGGCUGAGGCAGCUUUGCUCAGGGUGGAGAAUUCGAAGAAGCGUUUCAGAGAUUCCAGCUCGUCUUCCUCAACUCAGGUGGUUCAGAAGCAACAGAAAUAUUGGGUGUCUCCUCCUCCUCCUCGGCACACGCAGCAGUUCAAGCAAUCAGGUGGCCGUGGUUCUUCCCACCCACCCAACCUAGCUUUCUAGCAGAGGUUUCAGCAGCAGAAGCAAGGGACUCCUCAGACACAGUACCGUCAGCCGGCAGAUGUUACUUGUCACAAGUGUGGGCAGAAGGGUUACUAUGACAACAAGUGCACUUCUCAGCUGCGUCUUCCGCCUCCUCCUCCAGGCAAACCUCCAAGCAAUGCUAUAGUGAAGUUCAACCCCAGGUCUGCUAGAGUCAAUAUGGUGAAUGCAGCUGAAGCAGAAAACUCGUCAGACGUGAUUAUGGGUAACCUCCUCGUUAAUGAUAUUCCUGCUAAAGUUCUGUUUGAUUCUGGUGCUUCUCAUUCAUUCAUGUCUAGAAUGUUCUUUUUCGAGCAUGAUUUUGAUUCUGAGUAUUUGAGCAAGGCGUUACGUGUGGUGUCACCCGGUACUCUUAUGAGCGCCAACAAAGUGGUUCGGGAUGUCACAGUCAAGAUGGGGGAUUAUGCUUUUCUGGCAUCUCCUAUUGUCCUUGGCAAUUCUGAUAUUGAUUUGAUCCUUGGUAUGGACUGGUUGGCUAUGAACAAGGCAUCUAUUGAUUGUGAAGCUAAAGAAGUGAAGCUAACUCACUCUUCGGAGGAUGUGAUUAUCUUCGCAGCGCGCGAUGACACAAUCCGUGUGUUUUCCUUGAAUGAGAAGGGUGAGAUCUCUCCAAUUUCACAAGUCCGAGUGGUCUGCGAGUAUGAAGAUGUUUUUCUAGAAGAACUACUACGAAUGCCCCCACACGGAGAAGUUGAGUUCGUAAUUGACCUUGAACCGGGUACUAAGCCUGUGUGCAAAUGGCCGUACAAAUUGGGUCCAGAAGAGCUGAAGGAACUGAAGAGACAACUCGAUGAGCAGGAGCGUCUGGGUCUGAUCAGACCAAGCUCUUUUCCGUGGGGCUGUGGAGUGUUGUUUGUCAAGAAGAAGGAUGGCACAGACCGAUUGUGUGUCGAUUACCGUCCAUUGAACAAGAAGACAAUCUGAAACAAGUAUCCACUUCCUAACAUUAAUGAGUUGUUCGAGCAAUUGAAAGGGGCUAAGGUCUUCUCCAAGCUCGAUCUCACGAUGGGUUAUCAUCAGAUUCGCAUUCGCGAAGAGGGUAUUCCAAAGACUACUAUCAGGACAAGCUUUGGCUCGUAUGGGUAUACAGUGAUGUAUUUUGGUCUGGCAAAUGCUCCACCGACCUUCUGUCGUAUGAUGAAUUACAUCUUCUCCCCAUUCAAUAAUAAAUUCGUCUUGCUGUAUCUUGAUGACAUUCUGGUCUUUUCGGAAACUGAGGAAGAGCAUGAAGAACAACUCAGGUUGGUGCUUGAUAAGCUGAGAGAGCAUAAGUUCUAUGCUAAGUUUUCCAAAUGUGAGUUCUGGUUGAAAGAAGUUGUCUAUCUUGGGCAUAUCAUCUCUGCCGAGGGCAUCAAAGUUGAUCCGUCAAAGGUGCAGGCCAUUGUUGAGUGGGAGCCUCCGCAAAGUGUGAAGCAACUUUGAAGGUUUCUCAGGGUUGCAAGCUAUUGUAGAAGAUUCGUGUGACGUCUCCGUCGUACCUACUUUUCCAAACUCUUUUGCCCUUGUUUUGGACUCUAAUUUGCAUGAUUUGAAUGGAACUAACCCGGACUAACACUGUUUUCAGCAUAAUUGCCAUGGUGUUGUUUUUGCGCAGAAAUAAAAGUUCUCGGAAUGACCUGGAAAAUUACGGGGAUUUUUUGUGGAAUAUAUAAAAAAUACUGGCGCAAGAAUCAACGGAGGAAGUGGAGCAUGGAGCCCACAAGCCCACCAGGCGCGGGCCCCCUGGCCGCGCCUGGCAGGCUUGUGGGGCCCAUGAAGCUCCACCGCCUCCAAUAUCAGCUCUAUUUAGUCCCUUUCGUUCGGAAAAAAAUCAAGGAGGAGAGUUCAUCGCGUUUUACGAUACGGAGGCGCCGCCACCUCCUGUUCUUCCUCUGAAGGGCAGAUCUGGAGUCCGUUCUGUGCUCCGGAGAGGGGAGAUCGGCGCCAUCGUCAUCACCAACCGUCCUUCAUCGCCAAUUCCAUGAUGCUCUUCACCGUUCGUGAGUAAUCUCAUCGUAGGCUUGCUGGACGGUGAUGGGUUGGAUGAGAUCUAUCAUGUAAUCGAGGUAUUUUUGACGGGGAUUGAUCCCUAGUAUCCACUUUGUUCUCAGAUUGAUGUUGCUACUACUUUGCCAUGCUUAAUGCUUUGUCACUAGGGCCCGAGUGCCAUGAUUUCAGAUCUGAACCUAUUAUGUUGUCGCCAAUAUAUGUGUGUUCUUGAUCCUAUCUUGCAACUUGUAGUCACCUACUAUGUGUUAUGACCCGGCAACCCCGGAGUGACAAUAGCCGGAACCACUCCCGGAGAUGACCAUAGUAUGAGGAGUUCAUGUAUUCACUAAGUGUUAAUGCGUUGGUCCGGUUCUUUAUUAAAAGGAGAACCUUAAUAUCCCGUAGUUUCCAUUAGGACCCCGAUGCCACGGGAGGGAUGGACAAUAGAUGUCAUGCAAGUUCUUUUCCCUAAGCACGUAUGACAACAUAUGGAAUACAUGCCUACAUUACAUUGACGAACUGGGGCUAGUUACUUAUCUCUCCGUGUUAUAACUGUUGCAUGAUGAAUAACAUCCGGCAUAAUCAUCCAUCACCGAUCCAAUGCCUACGAGUCUUUUCCUACUGGUCCUUGCUACGUUACUCUGCUGCUACUGCUGUCACUGCUGCUACUGUUACUCUGCUGGUGUUACUGUUACUCUGCUGCUACUGCUGUCACUUUAUUGCUACUGGUUACUGUUGCUACUGUUGCUAUCUGAUACGUCCAUUUUGCAUCAUGCUUUCAUGUUGAUAUUUAUUGCUUUAUGGGCUGUUAUAUUACUUUGUGGUACCAUAUUUAUGCCUUUUCUCUCUUAUUUUGCAGGGUUUAUUAGAAGAGGGAGAAUUCAGGCAGCUGGAAUUCUGGACUGGAAAAGAAGCAAAUCUUAGUCCACUAUUCUGCACAUCUCCAAAUGCCCUGAAAAGUUACGUGGAAUUUUUCGGGAUUAUAUAAAAAAUACUAGGCUAAAGAAGUACCAGAGGGGGGCUACCAGGGCGCCACAAGCCCUGCCACCGCCACCCCCUGGUGGCGGAUGGCAAGCUUGUGGGCUCCCUAACGGCCCACUGGCCCCCCUCUUUUGCUAUAUGAAGGGUUUCGUUCCAGAAAAAAUCAAUCGGGAGCUUUUUCGUGGUUUCGCCGCCGCCACGAGGCGGAACUUGAGCAGGACCAAUCUAGAGCUCCGGCAGGACGAUCCUGACGAGGAAACUUCCCUCCCGGAGGGGGAAAUCAUCGCCAUCGUCAUCACCAACACUCCUCUCAUCGGAGGGGACUCAUCACCAUCAACAUCUUCAUCAGCACCAUCUCAUCUCCAAACCCUAGUUCAUCACUUGUAACCAAUCUCCGUCUCGCGACUCCGAUUGGUACUUGUAAGGUUGCUAGUAGUGUUGAUUACUCUUUGUAGUUGAUGCUAGUUGGAUAACUUGGUGGAAGAGUUUAUGUUCAGAUCCUUGAUGCUAUUCGUUACACCUCUGAUCAGGAUUAUGAUUAUGCUUUGUGAAUAGUUAAUUUUGUUCCUGAGGACAUGGGAUAAGUCAUGUUAAUAAUAGUCAUGUGAAUUUGAUAUCCGUUCGGUAUUUUGAUAUGCUGUAUGUUGUUUUUCCUCUAGUGGUGUUAUGUGAACGUCGACUACAUAACACUUCACCAUUAUUUGGGCCUAGAGGAAGGCAUUGGGAAGUAGUAAGUAGAUGAUGAGUUGCUAGAGUGACAGAAGCUUAAACCCUAGUUUAUGCGUNNNNNNNNNNNNNNNNNNNNNNNNNNNNNNNNNNNNNNNNNNNNNNNNNNNNNNNNNNNNNNNNNNNNNNNNNNNNNNNNNNNNNNNNNNNNNNNNNNNNAGAGUUAUAUUCUAGCCUGUAUAUUUUCCCCGUUAUAUGGGGUUUCCUGCAUAUUUACCACCUGUACAUGUAUAUAUAUAUAUUGGUCAUUGGCCCUCAGGGAACACAAGUUGUAUAUUCCUAACAGUCCUGUGUUAUCUUUUGUAGCGUAGUCGCUUGCGUUGUGUGUGUUCCGACUAUCACGGGAUCGGCUUUGUAAGAGGGCCACCUCACCACCUUGUAUCGUUCAGCCGUGUACUUUGUUCGGUUGUUGCUUUAUAUAUAAAGUGGGGCGAAAUCCUGUUUCGAGAGAUAGGAAGACAGAAACAUACUUAAUACAUGAGCUGCCUUUUUCUUUUGAACGGUUGUACCCCUCCUCCUGUUAUUACCUCCCCUACCUCUUCUUAAACCGGCUUGGUUAUGGCCGUGCAGCGCAUAAGUAACCUUUCAUGUAAUUGACCAUAUGGUCCCCAGGCUCAUGCCAGUUUUGAAAGCAGACCAGGCUCACGCCAGUAUUGAAAUACAUAAGGUAGAGACUGCUCUACCUUCGUUUCAAAAAGAAAAGGAAAAAUAUGGUGGCCUUGUAUAACUGCAAAUUAUAUUUUAGAUAGUGGCUAUGUAUACAAAAUAGGAGGGAGUAGUGAAGAUCACGGAUGACCGUCAUGUGCCAAUGUUCUUUUUAAGGUAUUCCAUGUGAAAAUUAAAUGUUCGAGUUUUCAAUCUACUUUGUUUAUUGCUCAUCGAUUUCAAAUGAAAAACCUAUAUGCAUAGUGUCUGAAGUUGUAUUUCGAAGAUUACCUGUUACAAUAUAUUCCGGAGCAGCAUAACCAUAUGUUCCCACAACCAUUGUGGAUACAUGACUCUUCUCACCAACGGGACCAUCAGUUGCGAAUCCAAAAUCACUGAGCUUCGCAGUAUAGUCCUGCACAGUAGUAUGAUGCAUUCCUUUCAGUGGAUAUCACAUGAUCAUAAAGGUGAAGUGCGAUGUAUUGACGAUCCACUUACGCUGUCAAGGAGAAUAUUGGAACUCUUAACAUCUCUAACAAUAAUCUUUGCUUCUGUACUGUGAAGGUAAGCUAUUGCUUUCGCAGCUCCAAGUGCAACUUUCGUUCUCAGGUUCCAUGCAAGAGGUUGACAUGAGCCUCCUAUAUCAAAGAUUUAUAUAGCAAUUUAUAAAUAUAACACACUAUGGCGUUACACUAUGCAGUACGAAUAACAGUGGACAACAGUGGAGCACAAAGUCCUAAUUUAACUUACUCCCAAAAAGAUGUUCUUCCAAGCUCCCACGUGGUAGGAACUCGUACACUAGUAGCCGGUGCUUAUCCUCCAAACAGUACCCAAAUAGCUUCACAAGGUUGGGAUGGGAAAGGUGACCUAGGUAAUUGACUUCUGCCUGUAAAUGGAAACAUAACAGAGUUACAAAUCCUGCAAUAUUUCAUCAGCACUUGUGAAGCUGUAACUGCCAAAAUAGAAUUCAUCACUUCAAGAUAAGAUUUCGAAAGUGUACUUAGACCACACAUGAAUCUACAUAGCUUCGAGGACAACACCACAAAAUAGAAUGACAGUUAUACUCACCAACCACUCUCGAUGCCCUUGUACCCCCUCGUGGUUUAAUCUUUUCACUGCAACAGGUAUACUAGUGCAAGAUUUGCCAGAUGACAAUGUGUUCUCAUCGAUCCAUCCUUUAUAUACAGUUCCAAACCCUCCUUCACCAAUCACACAGCCAACAUGAAACUUCCUUGUGGCUGACCUGAGAUUAUCAUAACUGAACACCUUAACACUGGCUAAUGGCAAGAUCUGGCAUUUAAUACUCCCAUCUUUACGACCACCUAACAUUCCUGCAUAUCAUGUCUUCAGUACUUUUUAACGAACAAAACAUACACAAAAAAUACCAAAUUAGCUUAAUAUUUUAAAAGAAAAUGUUCUCUGGUUGAUACGCUUUUGUAUUGAUCUACGUCAGGUCCAUAGUUAUGAUGUUCUGCAAGAUCCACAAAAUAGAAUGACAGUUAUACUCACCAACCACUCUCGAUGCCCUUGUACCCCCUCGUGGUUUAAUCUUUUCACUGCAACAGGUAUACUAGUGCAAGAUUUGCCAGAUGACAAUGUGUUCUCAUCGAUCCAUCCUUUAUAUACAGUUCCAAACCCUCCUUCACCAAUCACACAGCCAACAUGAAACUUCCUUGUGGCUGACCUGAGAUUAUCAUAACUGAACACCUUAACACUGGCUAAUGGCAAGAUCUGGCAUUUAAUACUCCCAUCUUUACGACCACCUAACAUUCCUGCAUAUCAUGUCUUCAGUACUUUUUAACGAACAAAACAUACACAAAAAAUACCAAAUUAGCUUAAUAUUUUAAAAGAAAAUGUUCUCUGGUUGAUACGCUUUUGUAUUGAUCUACGUCAGGUCCAUAGUUAUGAUGUUCUGCAAGAUUUAAAUGUUUGGUUCUAUUCUUUAGGGAAACUGCACAGAAACUAGGAACCGACUCAAGCAAGCUUGGUCACUUGCCAUCAUCUAAAAAUGGUAUGAGCGGAGAGAAGCAUAGUUGCCUGGAAAGGUCCAGGAGGGAGUCCAAUAUGUUACUUAGUUGGAGUCUGGUCAAAAGUACUAAAUGCUUACCUGAGUGCACGCAUGGGUUGAAGGCCUGAUUGCUUCGUAGGUUGGUGACCUACAACAGAACUUUAGAGCUUUAGCUUUUUUUAUAUGAGUCUCUCUUAGACUGAACAUAUAGUAGUAUUUAUCCCAAAAAAUGUAUAGCAGUAUUUAAACAUUAUUAGUCCUAUUCUGUAGACACACUUAAACCACAUUACAGUGAUUGGUUGAGACAUCAAAGAGCAGGCAAACUGCUUUCUGUUUGUCAGGUGAGAAGACACAACCAAAUAAUUUUGAACUUAUUGUGCAUGUCAUGAAGUUAAUGUAUUUCUAUGGAUAAUGUACAGUUUAACUAGUUAUGCAUCAGAACAUCCCGAUCUCUUCUUAGAAAACAUCCUGAUAUAAAAUAUGCGGAUGUGUAAGAUGAGGGUUCCUUUAUAGAUAAAGGUAACUUAGAUUGGCAGGGUGUAGUAAGAAGUGUGCUUUUUACAAACAUGAGGGAUUUGUCCAAUAUUUGUUCUUUGACUAUUAGUUCACGCAUUUUGCGUUGCGUGUGGUCAGAUCCGGCAUUCUCCAUCAGAGAGCACUACUCAUAUUUUUGCAAUUAGCUCAUACCGGACCUAAAAGAUUUAGGGAAAACUUAUUAAUUGGAGCAGACGAGUGGCCACAUGUUGGGCAGUCAAGGUGUGGAGCCGCUCUGCGAACCUGGGUGUGACUACUGCGGCAAGAGGGCAGGGGAAUGGCCCUCUCAGCGCAUACAAGGUUGGACAUAGCGGUACGACUGCUUUUCAUAAGCUAUGCUUGGCAGUUUAGUUUGUUAGAAUUAUCUUAGUGGUGCCUUUUGGCUUCUGUAUUCUAGUCUCUUGGCAUCCUCUUGUAGCCUUUUGGCAUCCUCAUGUAUGUGUAUAUAUCUGGCUUUGUCCUCAUAAUAAUAUACGUUACUAUUCCUCUAACAUCAACAUGGUAUCAUGAGCCUAGGUUAGGGAUCUUUUUGUGGGUGCCGCAACACGCCCAGACAAUCGGCUGUGCUGCUCCAUACCGCUGCUGCUACCCCGCCCCCGCGUACAGUUCAUUUGUUGCCGCUGCUCCCACCCACCCCUCUGGAUCGAGCCGAUACUCGACUUGCUUCCCGUCGCUGGCCGCCUCUGUCAUUCGCCGCAGGACCAUCUUCAAUCACUGGUUCCCGCCGUCGGCGGCCUUCAGAUCGAGGACGCCUGGCGCCAUCAAGGUCUGCGACCAACCUGGUCUGAGCAACGAACCGCUCUUGCUCGCUCCCGCCUCAGCGCCCCUGCCGUCGAUGCACAAGUGGAGCACCACGUUCCUCCUGGAUCGAGUCUCGACGCUUGCUCGUGGUCCCNNNNNNNNNNNNNNNNNNNNNNNNNNNNNNNNNNNNNNNNNNNNNNNNNNNNNNNNNNNNNNNNNNNNNNNNNNNNNNNNNNNNNNNNNNNNNNNNNNNNCCCCCCCUCCCCCCUUUCUCCCUCCCCCUGGGCUCGGCCUUGCCCUCCUCCUGACCGCUAUUCUCCUAGCCGAUAUGGUCUUUCGGUUGUACUUGAGCCUACCUCUUAUCGCGAUGUUGUUGUUCACCCUGAAUGGCAGUUUGGGAUGGCAGAUGAGAUUGUUGAGCGUAACGGCACAUGGGAUCUGGUUUCUCUUCCACCCUGUGUUCGCCCCAUCACUUGUAAGUGGGUCUAUAAGAUUACGACUCGGCUCUGAUGGUUCUCUUGAGCGUUAUAAAGCUCAUCUUGUGGCUCGUGGCUUUCAGCGGGAGCAUGGUCGUGAUUAUGACGAGACUUUUGCUCAUGUGGCCCAUAUGACCAGUGUCCGCACUCUUCUCGUUGUGGCCUCUGUUCGCCAUUGGUCUGUGUCCCAGCUUGAUGUUAAAAAUGCCUUUCUUAAUGGUGAGUUGCGUGAGGAGGUUUAUAUGCAGCCACCAUCUGGAUAUUCAGUUCCCGAUGGCACGGUAUGUCGUCUUCGUCGCUCUCUCUAUGGCCUUAAGCAAGCCCCUCGUGCUUGGUUUGAGCGCUUUGCCUUUGUGAUCACUGAUGUUGCUUUUCGCCCAAUGAUCACGAUCUAACGUUGUUUGUCCACCUUUCUGCUCAUGGUCGCACUCUUCUUCUUCUAUAUGUUGAUGACAUGAUCAUCACUGGCGAUGAUUCUGAGUAUUACCUUUUUCAAAGCCCGUCUUAAUGAACNNNNNNNNNNNNNNNNNNNNNNNNNNNNNNNNNNNNNNNNNNNNNNNNNNNNNNNNNNNNNNNNNNNNNNNNNNNNNNNNNNNNNNNNNNNNNNNNNNNNUUGUGUGGUGAGAUGAUUCGUAGCAAGCAACAAGUAACAAAAGUAGCAACGGUGCAGCAAAGUGGCCCAAUCCCUUUUAUAGCAAGGGACAAGCCUCGACAAAGUCUUAUAGGAGGAAGAACACUCCCGAGGACACACGGGAAUUUCUGUCAUGCUAGUUUCAUCAUGUUCAUAUGAUUCGCGUUCGUUACUUUGAUAGUUCGAUAUGUGGGUGGAACGGCGCUUGGGUACUGCCCUUACUUGGACAAGCAUCCCACUUAUGAUUAACCCCUCUCGCAAGCAUCCGCAACUACAAAAGAAGAAUCAAGACAAAGUCUAACCAUAGCAUUAAACUAGUGGAUCCAAAUCAGCCCCUUAUGAAGUAACGCAUAAACUAGGGUUUAAGCUUCUGUCACUCUAGCAACCCAUCUUCUACUUACUACUUCCCAAUGCCUUCCUCUAGGCCCAAAUAAUGGUGAAGUGUUAUGUAGUCGACGUUCACAUAACACCACUACAGGAAAAUCAACAUACAACAUAUCAACAUGCCGAACGAAUACCAAAUUCACAUGACUGUUAUUAGCAUGACUUAUCCCAUGUCCUCAGGAACAAAAGUAACUACUCACAAAGCAUAAUCAUAAUCAUGAUCAGAGGUGUAAUGAGUAGCAUCAAGGAUCUGAAGAUAAACUCUUCCACCAAGUAAUCCAACUAGCAUCAACUACAAAGAGUAAUCAACACUACUAGCAACCUUACAAGUACCAAUUGGAGUUGCGAGACGAAAAUUGGUUACAAGAUAUGAACUAGGUAUUGGAGAGGAGAUGGUGCUGAUGAAGAUGUUGAUGAAGAUGCCUCCCCUCCGACGAGAGGAGUGUUGGUGAUGACGAUGGCGACGAUUUCCCCCUCCGGGAGGAAAGUUUCCCCGACAGGAUUGUCCUGCCGGAGCUCUAGAUUGGAUCCGCUCAAGUUCCACCUCGUGGCGGUGGCGAAACCACGAAAAAGUUCCCGAAUGAUUUUUUCUGGACCAAAACCCUUCAUAUAGCAAAAGAGGGGGGCUAGUGGGCCGUCAGGGAGCCCACAAGCCCCCACUCCGCCACCAAUGGGUGGCGGUGGCAGGGCUUGUGGCGCCCUGGCAGCCCCCUCCGGUACUUCUUUCUCCCAGUAUUUUUUAUAUAAUCCCAAAAAAAUCCACGUAACUUUUCAGGGCAUUUGGAGAUGUGCAGUAUAGUGGACUAAGAUUUGCUCCUUUCAGAGUCCAGAAUUCCAGCUGCCUGAAUUCUCCCUCUUCAAAUAAACCUUGCAAAAUAAGAGAGAAAGGGCUUAAAUAUGGUACCACAAAGUAAUAUAACAGCCCACAAAGCAAUAAAUAUCAACAUGAAAGCAUGAUGCAAAAUGGACGUAUCAGCUAGCACUAAUAAUAACAGGAUAUAUCUCUUUUUCAUCAAGAUUGGCAUACUUAAGAGUAUCAGGCAACUGUUUAAGUUCGAACACAGGAUCACCCUUUGGUGGGGGUGUAUCCCCGAGCAGUUCAACAGGCAGAUUAUUCUUAAGGAUAGGAUAUUGUUCUAAGACAACUCUAUCUAUUUCAUCCCUUUCAUCCAUAUGCAUAUCAUUUUCAUGCUCAAGCAAGUAUUGCUCUAAGGGAUCAGUAGGAGGUACGACAAUAGAAGCUAAGGCAAUAGUUUCAUCCCCACUAGGAAACUCCUUUUCAUGAGGUUGUCUACCAAACUUAGAGAAAUUGAACUCAUGUGACACACCUUCAAAGCCAACAGUGACAGUUUGCUUCCCACAAUCAAUAUGAGCAUUAACAGUAUUGAGAAAAGGUCUACCAAAUAUGAUGGGACAGAAGCUAUCUUGAGCGGUAGCAAGAACGAGGAAAUCAGCAGGAUACUUCGUUUUACCACAUAAGACUUCAACAUCCCUAACAAUUCCACAGGGCAAAUAGUAUCUCUAUUGGCAAGCUGAAUAGUGACAUCAAUAGGCUCUAUCUCAACAGGUGCAAUCUCAUCUUUAAUUUCAUCGUAUAAGGAUUGAGGUAUUGCACUAACACUAGCACCCACGUCACAUAAGCCAUGAUAACAAUGAUCUCCUAUCUUAACAGAAACCACAGGCAUGUCAACAAGAGGCCUAUGUUUGUCUGUAACGUGAGGUUUAGCAAUUCUAGCAACAUUUUCACAGAAGUGAAUAUUAUGUCCCUCAACAUCGUCGGACAGAAGAUCUUUGAUAAUAGCAAUGCUACGUUCAACUCUAAUUUUCUCAGGGGGUGUAGGUGUUCUAAUAUAGCCUCUACGUAUCACAGUUGAAGCUUUAGAAUGAUCCUUUAUCCUAAUAGGGAAAGGUGGUUUCUCAAUGUAAGCACUGGGAACAACACGAUCAUUAUAGGCAAUGACUGUCUCUUCAACUGGAGUGGGUUUAACUACAUUGACUUCUAAAGGAGGAUGGUAUUUAAACCACUUAUCUUUGGGGAGAUCAAUAUGAGCAGCAAAUGAUUCACACAAUGAAGUUACUAUCUCAGAGUCAAGUCCAUACUUACGCUAAAAUCACUAAAGGUAUUUGUCUCAACAAAGGAUUUAACGAAAUCAAAUGUGAAAUUCAUACCUGACUCCUUACCUUCUUCAAGCUCCCAAUCUUCAGAGUUGCAUUUAAUUCUCUCCAAUAAAUUCCAUUUGAAGUCAAUAUCUCUCAUCAUAAAAGAACCGGUACAAGAAGUGUCAAGCAUGGUGCGAUCAUCAUNNNNNNNNNNCCUAAUGAUAAUUUCUCUCGAGAGCUCAUGAUUGAGGCAUGAAUAUAGCAUUGAUUUAAGCCUCCCUCAAGCUUGAGAGAUGCUUUCUUUGUCACGAGGCCAAAAAUUGUAAAUAUAAUUCUGAUCAUGAUGUACUAAAUGCAUAGGAUAAAACUUUUGAUGAAAUUCCAAUUUCAACCGAUUGUAGUCCCAUGAUCCAGUAUCAUCACAUAGCCUAUACCAUGUCAACGCCUUAUCCUUCAAAGAUAAAGGAAAGACCCUCUUCUUGAACUCAUCCUAGGGCAAACCUGCAAGCUUAAAUAAACCACAAACUUCAUCUACAUAGAUNNNNNNNNNNGAUUUCAUCGUAUAAGGAUUGAGGUAUUGCACUAACACUAGCACCCAAGUCACAUAAACCAUAAUAACAAUGAUCUCCUAUCUUAACAGAAACCACACGCAUGCCAACGAUAGGCCUAUGUUUGUCUCUAGCAUGAGGUUUAGCAAUUCUAGCAGCAUCUUCACAAAAGUAAAUAUUAUGUUCCUCAACUUCUUCAGACAUAAGAUCUUUGAUAAUAGCAAUGCUAGGUUCAACUCUAAUUUGCUCAGAGGGUGUAGGUGUUCUAAUAUAGCCUCUACAUAUCACAGUUGAAGCUUUAGAAUGAUCCUUUAUCCUAACAGGGAAAGGUGGUUUCUCAAUGUAAGCACUGGGUACCAAAGGAUCAUUAUAGGCAAUGACUUUCUCUUCAACUGGAGUGGGUUUAACUACAUUGACUUCUAAAGGAGGAUNNNNNNNNNNAAAUUUAAACCACUUCUCUUUGUGGAGAUCAAUAUGACCAGCAAAGGAUUCACACAGUGAAGCUACUAUCUCAGAGUCAAGUCCAUACUUAGCGCUAAAAUCACAAAAAGUAUUUGUCUCAACAAAGGAUUUAACGCAAUCAAAAGUGAAAUUCAUACCUGACUCCUUACCUUCUUCAAGCUCCCAAUCUUCAGAGUUGCGUUUAAUUCUCUCUAAUUAAUUCCAUUUGAAGUCAAUAUCUCUCUUCAUAAAAGAACCGGUACAAGAAGUGUCAAGCAUGGUGCGAUCAUCAUGAGAAAGCCGAGCAUAGAAGUUCUGAAUGAUAAUUUCUCUCGAGAGCUCAUGAUUGGGGCAUGAAUAUAGCAUUGAUUUAAGCAUCCCCCAAGCUUGAGCGAUGCUUUCUCUGUCACGAGGCCAAAAAUUAUAAAUAUAAUUCCGAUCACGAUGUACUAAAUGCAUAGGAUAAAACUUUUGAUGAAAUUCCNNNNNNNNNNNNNNNNNNNNNNNNNNNNNNNNNNNNNNNNNNNNNNNNNNNNNNNNNNNNNNNNNNNNNNNNNNNNNNNNNNNNNNNNNNNNNNNNNNNNGGCAAGGUCAUGGACGAUGACGCCCUCUUCCUCGACUUCCAGCAUGGCCACGAGCACCGGGGCAAUGCCGACGGUCGUCGGCAUUGCCGUCUCGUCCUACUCUUUGCCCGCCAUCUCCUUCUCACCGAGGUUUUCUCCCCGGACGACUACGCUCUAAUGACACCCGCUCUGGUAAGUUUCAAUUUUCCCCUUUGCUUGCAAAUGUAGAUUAGGGUUUUCUGCAUUAGGCAUGGUCCAAUCGGUCCGUUCUUGUUUGUUAUUGUUGCUUUGUGCACUGUCCCAAGUUGUUCAUGCAAAGUAGGCGUAGUUUUUGCUUCCCCACUGGUAGAUUUGUGCUUGCAAAAUAGGUAUUACAUUAUGCCAGCAUAUGCUUCAUGUUCAUGAUGUUCAUGGUAGGUUAGAGCCGGCAUAUGAUUCAUGUUCAUGGUGUUCAUGGUAGAUUAGAGCCAGCAUAUGCUUCAUGUUCAUAGGCAUGCUUGAUGUUGAAGGUAGAUUGAUAUUUGCAUAAGCUGGGUUUGUGCAUGAUUUUAUUACGUGCAUGGUGAACUUGCUAGGUAGGACAAAUGUGCAUAUACUCAUACAUGUUAUAGGACCAAUGUGUUUGCUUGUUUAGGUAGUACUAUCAAUGUGGCAUGCUGCCAAAUGUGGAAGUGGGCAAAAAAUGCACUUCUAGCUUCACAUCAUGCAUUGAUAUUUUGGAAACUGCACUGACGGUGGCAGUUGCCCAAGUGCAAGUUUCACUGCGCACUGCCACUGAUCAAUGUUAGAUCAUAAUGCCUUGUUACUAAUACAUGGCAUCUUAUCUGACAAGGUCAUGAAGACAGAGUGGGGCGUAGCUGGUGGAGGUACCCAGGUCAUGGUUGGCGUCGAGCGUGCCAAUGACCUCCUCCCCGUGAAUCGCUCGCUCAAGAAGGUGAACCUACCUUGUAGAGCCGCCUUCAUGAGCCUGCCAUGUUCAAGUGGACGAUCUACGAGGACCAGCCACAAGGAGGGGUCCCGAGAGCCGCUACGCUUCUACGUGCAGAUCAAGGACAUGGAGGAUCUCACCAUGCUCAUCAUCCCUCCCAAGUUAGUGGAGGUGAUGAAGGAGUGGCUGGUGGUCAAGCUCCCGCCCAUCGUCAGGCUGUCGGCCAACAAGUGGUCCGAGUUUUGGGUUCAGGUCCAGAACUUCGAGGGGCAAAUUCCUUAGCCGGGGCUGGUAGUACUUCUGCCGACGUUGUCACAAGAUCGUCCCCGGCGACCUCCUCGUCCUGCGAAUCUUUGGCCUUGACUUGAAGGUGCAGAUUUACAAUCAUGACAACUCGAUCAUGUGCAGGUGCGUUGCACCAGACAUAGAUGCAUUGAUGACAUUUCUCUCGUGCUCUAGAUCAUCAGUUUAGUACCUAGUCAUGGUAAGAACCUGCAAGUAGUUUGUAGUGAUGGUGAUGGUUUGAACUUGUGAUGUGAAGUUGUUCAUAUUUUAAUCAGGAUCAACACCCUCGUGUGAAGCAGGGGCCAUGGGAUGCCCUUGCUGUCUUUAACUAUGGUCAGAAUUAUAUUAGUUUGCCUCUUAAUCUGAUCUUUACCAUCUAUCUAUUGUUUGUUGUCAUUGUUUUACUAGCGGUUGUGCAUGUUGUUGUGCAGUUAUCGUGGUGAUAAUGGGCCAGUAGAACACAAACGUGUGCACGCAGCCAAACAAUUCUGGUUUGCAUUUGCUCAUCCCUUAAGCACAUAUGUGUGCAACCAAACAGUCGACCCUAAAAUGACCAUUGAUGCAAUGCAGGCAAACAAACAAUAUGCAAAGAUGGAUUGUGUGCUAUUAAGCUCGAUAUGCAUAAAGCUUAUGACAGAGUUGAGUGGCCUUUUCUGAAGGAGAUUAUGUUGAGACCAGGCUUCCGUCAAGAUUGGGUAAAUCUUAUUAUGCAAUGUGUCUCGGCUUUCGAAUACAGGUACGAAUUAAUGGGAGGAAAGUAAAAGUUUUAAACCAACAAGGGGGUUUGAGGCAGGGUGAUCCGUUGCCACCUUAUCUUUCUUAUUAUGCACAGAAGGUUUGAAUGCAUUGCUAGCACAUGCCGAGGAAAAUGAAAAUAUUUUGGAAGUGAAAGUUUAUAGAGAUGCCCCACCCAUCACAAACCUUCUCUUUGUGGAUGAUUCGUUGAUUCUUAUGAAAGCCACUAGCUCUCAAAUCAGUACUAGAUUCAUACUAUGCGGUUUCUGGACAAUUGGUCAGUGAUACGUCCAUUUUGCAUCAUGCUUUCAUGUUGAUAUUUAUCGCUUCUUGGGCUGUUAUUUCACUUCACGGUACAAUACUUAUGCCUUUUCUCUCUUAUUUUGCAAGGUUUACAUGAAGAGGGAGAAUGUCGGCAGCUGGAAUUCUGGCUGAAAUUGGAGCAACUUUGAGAUACCUAUUCUGCGCAACUCCAAACGCCGUAAAAAUCAACGAUGAUUUUUUUCUGGAUUUAUAAAAAAUAGUGGGCUGAAGAAGCGUCAGAGGGCCACCAGCAGGUGGCCACAAGCCUGCUAGGCGCGGCCACCCCCUGGUCGCGCCUAGGGGGCUUGUGGGCAGCCUGAUGGCCCACUGCCCCCCCCUCUUCUGCUAUAUGAAGGGUUUCGUCUGGAAAAAAAAAUCAAGGAGGAGCUUUUUCGUGGAUUCGCCGCCGCCACGAGGCGGAACUUGAGCAGAACCAAUCUAGAGNNNNNNNNNNAACCAAUCUAGAGCUUUGGCAGGACGAUCCUGUCGGGGAAACUUCCCUCCCGGAGGGGGAAAUCGUCGCCAUCGUCAUCACCAACACUCCUCUNNNNNNNNNNCGGCAUGACGAUCCUGUCGGGGAAACUUCCCUUCCGGAGGGGGAAAUCGUCGCCAUUGUCAUCACCAACACUCCUCUCAUCAGAGGGGACUCGUCACCAUCAACAUCUUCAUCAGCACCAUCUCAUCUCCAAACCCUAGUUCAUCACUUGUAACCAAUCUCCGUCUCGCGACUCCGAUUGGUACUUGUAAGGUUGCUAGUAGUGUUGAUUACUCUUUGUAGUUNNNNNNNNNNCCAUUACCUCUCUGGUCAUGGAUAUGAUUAUGUUUUAUGAGUAGUUACUUUUGUUCCUGAGUACAUGGGAUAAGUCAUGCUAAUAGUAGUCAUGUGAAUUUGGUAUUCGUUCGAUAUUUUGAUGUGUUGUAUGUCGUUUUUCCUCUAGUGGUGUUAUGUGAACGUCGACUACAUAACACUUCACCAUNNNNNNNNNNNNNNNNNNNNNNNNNNNNNNNNNNNNNNNNNNNNNNNNNNNNNNNNNNNNNNNNNNNNNNNNNNNNNNNNNNNNNNNNNNNNNNNNNNNNAUCUACUUACUACUUCCCAAUGCCUUCCUCUAGGCCCAAAUAAUGGUGCAGUGUUAUGUAGUCGAUGUUCACAUAACACCACUAGAGGAAAAACAACAUACAACACAUUAAAAUAUCAAACGUAUACCAAAUUCACAUGACUACUAUUAGCAUGACUGAUCCCAUGUCCUCAAGAAAAAAAGUAACUACUCACAAGGCAUAAUCAUAUUCAUGACCAGAGAGGUAAUGAGUAGCAUCAAGGAUCUGAACAUAAACUCUUCCACCAAGUACUCCAACUAGCAUCAACUACAAAGAGUAAUUAACACUACUAGCAACCUUACAAGUACCAAUCGGAGUCGCGAGACAGAGAUUGGUUACAAGAGAUGAACUAGGGUUUGGAGAUGAGAUGGUGCUGAUGAAGAUGUUGAUGGUGACGAGUCCCCUUCGAUGAGAGGAGUGUUGGUGAUGACGAUGGCGACGAUUUCCCCCUCGGGGAGGGAAGUUUCCCCGGCACGAUCGUCCUGCCAGAGCUCUAGAUUGGUUCUGCUCAAGUUCCGCCUCGUGGCGGCGGCGAAUCCUCCAAAAAGCCUCCUCCUGAUUUUUUCGGAACGAAACCCUUCAUAUAGCAGAAGAGGGGAGCCAGUGGGCCAGCAGGGAGCCCACAAGCCCCCUAGGCGCGGUCACGGGAGUGGCCGCGCCUACCAGGCUUGUGGCCCCCUGGUUGCGCUCCUCUAGCACUUCUUCGGCCCAGUAUUUUUUAUAUAUUCCCAAAAAAAUCCACGUUGAUUUUCACGGCUUUUGGAGUUGCGCAGAAUAGGCAUCUCAAACUUGCUCCUUUUUCAGGCUAGAAUUCCAGCUGUCGGCAUUCUCCCUCUUCAUGUCAACCUUGCAAAAUAAUAGAGAAAAGGCAUACGUAUUGUACCGUGAAGUGAAAUAACAGCCCAAAAAGCAAUAAAUAUCAACAUGAAAGCAUGAUGCAAAAUCGACGUAUCAACUCCCCCAAGCUUAGACCUCGCUUGUCCUCAAGCGAAAGCCGAGCACAAUAAAUAUCCCCACAUGUUUAGGGAGAGAGGUGUCGAAAAAACAAGAUACGAACAUACAUGCAUCAUGAUCAUGAUCAGAAUAGCAAUACCAGCAUAUAAUCUCUCAUGCUAAAGUGACAAUUCCUUCACAAAGUAAAGUAUGGAUCAAGAACCUUACCGAGAAAUAGCAACCGAUAGCCUUUAGUCAUUGAAGCAAUUGCAAUUUAUCACAACAUCGGAAAGAGUCAAAUAAUAGCUUGUAAAGCAAAUCCACAUACUCAAUCAUCUUUUCAUUCUCUACAAUUGCUACAACUCACGUGGUACUCAUGAGAUCAAAGUUUCAGUUGGACACAUAGAAAGAUACGGUAAUGUCAACAAUAAUAAUUCAUGAAUGCUUACCUCCAAGUUGACAUAUGAAUAUAGAUCUUUCCCAAGCAUACGACGUUAGCCAAGAUAAAGGCGAAAUAAGGAAUUGGUGAAGAUCACCAUGACUCUUUCAAGGGCAAAAAAUAAAGGUACAAGAUAGGCCCUUCGCAGAGGGAAGCAGAGGUUGUCAUGCACUUUUGAGGUUUGGACGCGUGUCCUCUUAGUGCGGAGGAACGUCACUUUAUAUUGCCUCCUGUGAUAAAGAACUUUAUUAUGCAGUAUGUCGCUUUUAUGCCUUCCUCAUCAUAGGUUAGUACAAAGCUUAUUUUCUACACACUAAUAGAUCAUACAUAUUAGGGAGCAAUUUUUAUUGCUUGCAGCGAUGACAACUUACUUGAGGGAUCUUAUUCAAUCCAUAGGUAGGUAUGGUGGACUCUCAUGGCAAAACUGGGUUUAAGGUUUAUGGAUGCACAAGUAGUAUCUCUACUUGGUGCGGGAGUUUUGGCUAAUAUGAGGUGGAAGCAAUCGUCACAUGCUAAGGGAUCUAUAGUCAUAUAACAUUGUUCGGAACCAAGCAAAUACAAUUCAUUAUGUUGUCUUCCUUGUCCAACAACUACUUCUAAGCAUGUAAUAGUUUAGUGAGUGCUCACAAUCAUAGAUGGUGUCAAAGAUGAUAUAUUUAUAUGUGAACCUCUCCUUCUUUACCACUUCCUAUUAAUUGCAACAAUGACCAAGGUCUAAGUUUGUCUACCCUCAACAAGUUUCAAUGAACAAUAUUUUUAUAUGUGAAGCCAUCACUUCCCAUAAGAUCAUUACAUGAUCUUUCAUGCUUUUGUUCCUUUCUCACUCUUUUGAUCAUGGGAAGAGGCAAAGCCCUCAACUAAGACAUGCUUUAUCAUGUGGAUCACGAGCUCGAAUACUAAAACACUAAGACUUCUAAUCUACUAGAGAAAAAGAAAACUGAAAAGGAACAAACUAAAACAAAGGUAAAGGCAAAAGAUGUGAUGGUGAUACGAUACCAGGGCAACUCCCCCAAGCUUGGCACAAGCCAAGGGGAUUGCCCAUACCCAUGCUUAGUUGUCUUCCUUUGGAGGUGAUGGUGCUGGAGUUGUUGCGACAUGGGUUUGAUCCUCCGUCUUCCAAGGCAGAGGUGCUCCAUCAUGGAAAGAUGAACGAGUCUCCGGAAUCCUCAAAUCUGCAGUCAACCGUAUUGAUUUUAAUCUAUACUCAUUCUCAUAGUUUUGGUUCUCUAGGUCAUAGAUUUGGGCCUGGAGGUAAUCAAUCCUGUCAUAGAGCCUGGAGAGGUGCUUCCCAAUGUCAUUAGCAUCGAUCCUGUGCUUGCUGGUGAACUCCGUGAUCAUCAUGUGGUUGGCGUUGAGUCCACGCUCCACCAUCCCUUGGCACUUGAAGACCUGUUGCUCCAUUGCUUCGAGCCUCGCCUCCAUGCUUCCGGUCUUCUUGGGUCCCUCAACAUCACAGAUGUGCAACAUCCCCUCACGCAUCUCGAUAGAUUGAGCGUGUUGCAGCACUUUCGUGAGGUAGGGAUUGAUGACCUUCUCGAAGAUCUUGUCCUUCGGAGCUUUUGGGGACGUCAUGGCAAUCUAGAUCUGCAACAGAAAUAGGCUCGAAACGAAAACAGAGGAAAUCUGCGUGAUGCGAGGGUCAGACCUUACGGGAGAAUAUAUAAUGAUUUUUUCCAAACCAGAAGGAGUACUCAGCAUGAAAACGGAGUCCAGGAGGCACACGAGGUGGCCACAAGCCCCCAGGGGCGGCCAGGGGGUGGGCCCGUGCCUGGCAGGCUUGUCGCCUCCUCGCGCGCUUUCCGGACUACUUCCAAUUUUUCUAUUUUUCUAAAUAUUCCAAAACGGAGAAAAAUUCCUACUGGAAAAGUUUUGGAGUCUGUUUUCUUACCGAAUCACAUACCUCUUCAUUUUCGGAGUUUGAAACAGGCUGAUAAAUAUCCCUUAGGUAUUCCUCCGGAGUUAUGGUAUUGAUGACAUUGCUUUCAACAUUUAUGGGAGUACCUGAGAUAUAAUGCUUGAUUCUUUGCCCAUUUACAACUCUCGGACAAUUACCUUCCAUGUUGUUGAUCUUGAUAGCACCGGAACGAUAUACUUCUUCAACAAUAUAGGGACCUUCCCAUUUAGAGAGAAGCUUGCCUGCAAAAAUCUUAAACGAGAAUUAUAUAGCAAGACAUAAUCACCUACAUUGAACUCACGCUUUUGUAUCCUCUUAUCAUGCCAUCUGUUAACCUUUUCUUUGAACAACUUGGCAUUUUCAUAUGCCUGAGCUCUCCAUUCAUCAAGCGAGCUAAUGUCAAAUAAUCUGUUCUCACCAGCAAGUUUGAAAUCAAAGUUGAGAUCUUUGAUUGCCCAAUAAGUUUUAUGCUCUAGCUCAAGAGGUAAAUGACAUGCUUUACCGUACACCAUUUUGUACGGAGACAUGCCCAUGGGAUUCGUAUAGGCAGUUCUAUAAGCCCACAGUGCAUCAUCGAGCUUCUAAGACCAAUUCUUUCUAGACAUGUCGACAGUCUUUUGUAGAAUUAGUUUAAUUUCUCUAUUGCUUAGCUCUACUUGACAACUAGACUGAGGGUGAUAGGGAGACACAAUUCUAUGGUUGACAUCGUACUUAGCAAGCGUUUUACGGAAAGCACCAUGAAUGAAAUGUGAACCACCGUCGGUCAUUAGAUAUAUAGGGACUCCAAAUCUAGGGAAGAUUACUUCUUUAGGCAGCCUAAUAGAUGUGUUGUGAUCAACACUACUAGUGGGGAUAGCUUCUACCCACUUAGUAACGUAAUCAACAACAACUAAGAUGUGAGUAUACCCGUUGGAUUUUGGAAAAGGUCCCAUAUAAUCAAAGCCCCAAACAUCAAAUGGUUCAAUGACAAAUGAAUAGUUCAUAGGCAUUUCCUGACGUUUACCGAUAUUACCUACUCUUUGGCAUUUGUCACAAGACAAGACAAACUUACACGCAUCCUUGAAGAGAGUGGGCCAAUAGAAACCUGAUUGCAAUACCUUGUGUGCAGUUCUAUCUCCUGCAUGGUGUCCUCCGUAGGCCUCGGAGUGACACUUCUGUAGGAUCUUUCGCUGUUCAUCUUCAGGUACACAACGUCUAAUAACACCAUCUACUCCUUCCUUAUAAAGUUGAGGAUCAUCCCAAAAGUAAUGUCUCAAGUCAAAGAAGAAUUUCUUAUUUUGCUGGAAUGUGAAACUAGGUGGUAUAUAUUUGGCAACGAUAAAGUUUGCAUAAUCAGCAUACCACGGUGCACUAUGUGAAGUAUUGAUGACAUUCAAUUGCUCAUCGGGGAAGCAAUCAUUAAUAGGUUGUGGGUCAUCAAGAACGUUCUCUAACCUAGACAAGUUAUCUGCUACGGGGCUAUCAGCACCCUUCCUGUCGACAACGUGCAAAUCAAAUUCUUGUAGCAAGAGAACCCAUCUGNNNNNNNNNNCUUCUUCUCCAUGAGGUACUUAAUAGCAGCGUGAUGAGUGUGAAUAGUGACUUUGGAAUCAACUAUGUAAGACCUGAACUUUUCACAUGCAAACACGACUGCGAAAAAUUCCUUUUUCGUAGUGGCAUAGUUUCUUUGGGUAGUGUCUAGAGUUUUACUAGCAUAGUGAAUAACAUUCAACUUCGUAUCAACUCUUUUCCCUAGGACAACACCAACAUCAUAAUCACUAGCAUCACACAUGAUUUCAAAAGGUAAGCUCCAAUCAGGUGGUUGAACAAGAGGUGCAGUUAUCAAAGCCUUCUUAAGUAUUUCGAAGGCUUCCUCACAAUCAUCGUCAAAAACAAAAGGAAUAUCCUUAUGCAAGAGAUUGGUAAGAGGCCUAGAAAUCUUAGAGAAGUCUUUAAUGAACCUCCUAUAGAAACUAGCAUGACCAAGGAAACUUCUUAUACCUUUGAUAUCUGUGGGGUAUGGCAUUUUAUCGAUCGCAUCAACUUUAGCCUUACCGACUUCAAUACCUCUUUCGGAAAUUUUUUGUCCUAAGACGAUGCCUUCAUUAACCAUAAAGUGGCACUUCUCCCAAUUCAAGACAAGNNNNNNNNNNCAAGACUCGAUCGAGGUUGCUGAGACAAUCAUCAAAGGAAGACCCGUAAACGGAGAAGUCAUCCAUGAAAACCUCAAUAAUCUUUUCACCAUAGUCAGAGAAUAUAACCAUCAUACAUCUUUGAAAGGUGGCAGGUGCAUUACAUAAGCCAAAAGGCAUACGUCUAUAAGCAAAGUUACCGAAAGGGCAGGUGAAAGUGGUUUUCUCCUGAUCAGAUUGUUCAACUGGUAUUUGGGAGAAACCAGAAUAACCGUCUAGAAAGCAGAUGUGUGUGUGUUUGGACAGCCUUUCUAGCAUUUGGUCGAUAAAAGGCAANNNNNNNNNNNNNNNNNNNNNNNNNNNNNNNNNNNNNNNNNNNNNNNNNNNNNNNNNNNNNNNNNNNNNNNNNNNNNNNNNNNNNNNNNNNNNNNNNNNNCGUAUCAAACGUCGCAACGUAACUGGGUGAAUAAACAUGCUGUACAGGUAUCUCCGAAGGUGUUCGUUGAAUUAGUAUGGAUCGAGACUGGGAUUUGUCACUCCGUGUGACGGAGAGGUAUCUCGGGGCCCACUCAGUAAUACAACAUCACACACAAGCCUUGCAAGCAAUGCGACUUAGUGUAAGUUGCGGGAUAUUGUAUUACGGAACAAGUAAAGAGACUUGCCGGUAAACGAGAUUGAAAUAGGUAUGCGGAUACUGACGAUCGAAUCUCGGGCAAGUAACAUACAGAAGGACAAAGGGAAUGACAUACGGGAUUAUAUGAAUCCUUGGCACUAAGGUUCAAACGAUAAGAUCUUCGUAGAAUAUGUGGGAUCCAAUAUGGGCAUCCAGGUCCCGCUAUUGGAUAUUGAUCGAGGAGUCACUCGGGUCAUGUCUACAUAGUUCUCGAACCCGCAGGGUCUGCACACUUAAGGUUCGACGUUGUUUUAUGCGUAUUUGAGUUAUAUGGUUGGUUACCGAAUGUUGUUCGGAGUCCCGGAUGAGAUCACGGAUGUCACUAGGGUUUCUGGAAUGGUCCGGAAACAAAGAUUGAUAUAUAGGAUGACCUCAUUUGAUUACCGGAAGGUUUUGGGAGUUACCGGGAAUGUACCGGGAAUGACGAAUGGGUUCCGGGUGUUCACCGGGGGGGCAACCCACCCCGGGGAAGCCCAUAGGCCUUGGGGUGGCGCACCAGCCCUUGGUGGGCUGGUGGGACAGCCCAAGAGGGCCCUAUGCGCCAAGGUUAGAAAAUCAAAGAGAAAAGAAAAAAAAGGAGGUGGGAAAGGAGAGAAGGACUCCACUUUCCAAUCCUNNNNNNNNNNNNNNNNNNNNNNNNNNNNNNNNNNNNNNNNNNNNNNNNNNNNNNNNNNNNNNNNNNNNNNNNNNNNNNNNNNNNNNNNNNNNNNNNNNNNGUCACGAGGCCAAAAGUUAUAAAUAAAGUUCCGACCACGAUGUACUAAAUGCAUAGGAUAGAACUUUUGAUGAAAUUCCAUUUUCAACCGAUUGUAGCCCCAUGAUCCAGUAUCAUCACAUAGCCUAUACCAUGUCAACGCCUUAUCCCUCAAAGAUAAGGGAAAUACCUUCUUCUUGACCUCAUCCUCGGGCAAACCUGCAAGCUUAAAUAAACCACAAACUUCAUCUACAUAGAUNNNNNNNNNNUACUUUCUUCUUUACCUCAUCCUCGGGCAAACUUGCAAGCUUAAAUAAACCACAAACUUCAUCUACAUAGAUCAGAUGCAAGUCUGGAUGUGAAGAUCCAUCUCCUCUGAAAGGAUUAGCCAGCAGUUUCUCAAGCAUAUCGGAAGGAAUUUCAUAAAAGAUAUUUUCAGUAGGUACCUCAGGUUGAGGANNNNNNNNNNUUUCUUCUUUACCUCAUCCUCGGGCAAACCUGCAAGCUUAAAUAAACGAUAAACUUCAUCUACAUAGAUUAGAUGCAAGUCUGGAUGUGAAGAUCCAUCUCCUGUAAAAGGAUUAGCCGCCAGUUUCUCAAGCAUACCCGAAGGAAUUUCAUAAAAGAUAUUUUCAGUAGGUACCUCAGGUUGAGGAACAACUCCUCGUGCUUCCGUUCGUGGUGAAGAUACCCCGAACAAACUCCUCAAAGGAAGAGUUUCCAUAGUGACAAGUGACAAUAAAUUUCAGCACAGUAUAUAAAUGUUUCCUUACCAAUUUCGACUUACCAAAGGCGCUUCACUCCCCGGAAACGACGCCAGAAAAGAAUCUUGAUGACCCACAAGUAUAGGGGAUCAAUCGUAGUCCUUUCGAUAANNNNNNNNNNNNNNNNNNNNNNNNNNNNNNNNNNNNNNNNNNNNNNNNNNNNNNNNNNNNNNNNNNNNNNNNNNNNNNNNNNNNNNNNNNNNNNNNNNNNAAGUUCAUGAUUACUUUGCUAGUUUGCUUGAAUUAUUAUUGUUUCCACGUCAAUAGAAAACUAUUGUUUUGAAUCUAAUGGAUAUGAACAUUCACGUCACAUAAGAGGAAUUACAAAGGACACCUAUGCUAGGUAGCAUGAAAGCAUCAAAAAUUCAUUCUUAUCACUUCCCUACUCAAGGACGAGCAGGAGUUAAGCUUGGGGAUGCUUGAUACGUCUCAAACGUAUCUAUAAUUUUUGAUGGUUUCACGUUGUUAUCUUUCCUUCUUUGUAUGUUUUAUGUACCUUUUUAUAUCUUUUUGGGACUAACUUAUUAACUCAGUGCCAAGUGCCAGUUCCUGUUUUUUCCGUAUUUUUGACUCUUUUCAGAUCUGAUUUUGGAACGGAGUCCAAACGGAAGAAAAACCCCGAAAUGAUUUUUUCCCAAACGGAAGAAGUCCAGGGGGCUUUUGGGCCAAGCCAGGUGGGCUCCAGGGAGCCCACAAGCCCCCACUCCACCACCAGGGGGAGGCGGCGACGGGCAGGCUUGUGGCCUCCCUGGUCGCCCCCUGACCUAGAUCUUUGGCCUAUAAAUUCCCAAAUAUUCCGCAAAAAAUCAGGGGAGCCUCGAAAAUACUUUUCCGUCGCCGCAAGCUUCUGUUUCCGCGAGAUCUCAUCCGGAGACCCUUCCCGGCACCCUGUCGGAGGGGACUUUGGAGGUGGAGGCUUCUUCAUCAUCAUCAUCGCCCCUCCAAUGACUCGUGAGUAGUUCACUUCAGACCUACGGGUCCGUAGUUAGUAGCUAGAUGGCUUCUUCUCUCUCUUGGAUCUUCAAUACAAAGUUCUCCAUGAUCUUCAUGGAGAUCUAUCCAAUGUAAUAUUCUUUGCUGGUGUGUUUGUCGAGAUCCGAUGAAUUGUGGACUUGUGAUCAGAUUAUCAAUGAUAUAUAUUUGAGUCUUUACUGAUUUCUUAUAUGCAUGAUUUGAUAUCCUUGUAAGUCUCUUCGAGUCUUGGGUUCUGUUUGGCCAACUAGAUCAAUGAUUCUUGCAAUGGGAGAAGUGCUUGGUUUUGGGUUCUGCCAUGUGGUGACCUUGCCCAGUGACAGUAGGGGCAGCAAGGCACACAUCAAGCAGUUGCCAUCAAGGGUAAAAAGAUGGGGUUUUAUCAUUGGUUUGAGAUUAUCCCUCUACAUCAUGUCAUCUUGCUUAAGGCGUUACUCUGUUCUGAUGGACUUAAUACACUAGAUGCAUGCUGGAUAGCGGUGGACGUGUGGAGUAAUAGUAUUAGAUGCAGAAAGUAUGGGUCUACAUGUUUCAGACGUGACGCCUAUAGAAAUAAUCAUUGCAUAGAUAUCGUCACGACUCUGCACAGUUCUAUCAAUUGCUUGACUGUAAUUUGUUCACCCACCGUCUACUUGCUUUCAUGAGAGAAGACACUAGUAAACACUACGGCCCCCGGGUCUAUUCACAUCCAUCGUUUACAUCUCCGCUUUUACUUUGCUUUGUUACUUUGUUGCUUUCAGUUCUCACCUGGCAAACAAUCUAUAAGGGAUUGACAACCCCUUCAUAGCGUUGGGUGCAAGCUUUUGUGUUUGUGCAGGAUCUUGAGAUACUCUUCCGCCGGAUUGAUACCUUGGUUCUCAAACUGAGGGAAAUACUUACCGUCGUUGUGCUACAUCACCCUUUCUGCUUCUAGGGAACACCAACGCAAGGCUCCAAGGCCACGGGGGAAAUCCUUUGCAUACUUGCCUAGGAAGUCCCUUAAGGCGUAGCCAUAGUUGAAGGAUUCAUGGUGCCGUCGACACAACUAUUUCUGGCGCCAUUGCAAGGGAUACACAACAAACAUCAGAAGUAUUUCUGGCGCCAUUGCCGGGGAGGAGAAAUCAAGAUCUAUCCAAGUAGGUCUCACAAACUCUUCUCUUGCAUUUACUUUUGUUGCCAGUUGCCUCUCGUUUUCCUCUCCCCCACUUCACAUUUUCCGUUUUCAUUCGCCUUUCUCCUUCGUCGUUUUCUUUUGCCCUUGCCGUUUUCCUUUGCCGGUUUCUUGCUUGCUUGUGUGCUUGUUUGUUUGUUGAAGACAUCAUGUCUGAAAACAGCAAACUUUGCGACUUCUCGAGCACUAAUAAUAAUGAUUUUAUUAGUACUCCGAUUGCUCCCGCCACUAGUGCGGAAUCGUAUGAAAUCAACGCNNNNNNNNNNNNNNNNNNNNNNNNNNNNNNNNNNNNNNNNNNNNNNNNNNNNNNNNNNNNNNNNNNNNNNNNNNNNNNNNNNNNNNNNNNNNNNNNNNNNCACUUACCAAAGGCGCUUCGCUCCCCGGCAACGACGCCAGAAAAGAGUCUUGAUGACCCAAAAGUAUAGGGGAUCAAUCGUAGUCCUUUCGAUAAGUAAGAGUGUCGAACCUAACGAGGAGCAGAAGGCUCUGAUAAACGGAUUUCAGCAAGGUAAUAACUGCAAGCACUGAAAGUAGCGGUAACAAGUGAUUGUGNNNNNNNNNNCAACAAGGAGAAGAAGGCUCUAAUAAACGGAUUUCAACAAGGUAAUAACUGCAAGCACUGAAAGUAGCGGUAACAAGUGAUUGUGUAGCGAGGUGAAACAUAGCAAGCAAAACGUAACAAGUAACAAGUAGUAGCAAUGCUGCAGCAAGUGGCCCAAUCCCUUUUGCAGCAAGGGACAAGCCUGAACAAAGUCUUAUAGGAGGAAAAACGCUCCCGAGGACACACGGGAAUUUCUGUCAUGCUAGUUUCAUCANNNNNNNNNNGCCCAAUCCCUUUUGUAGCAAGGGACAAGCCUGGACAAAGUCGUAUAGGACGAAAAACACUCCCGAGGACACACGGGAAUUUCUGCCAUGCUAGUUUCAUCACGUUCAUAUGAUUCGCGUUCGUUACUUUGAUAGUUUGAUAUGUGGGUGGACCAGCGCUUGGGUACUGCCCGUACUUGGACAAGCAUCCCACUUAUGAUUAACCCCUCUCGCAAGCNNNNNNNNNNUCACUUAUUACCGACAAUUUCAGUGCUUGCUGAAAACCACUUGUCAGAUCCUUCUGCUCCUCGUUUGGUUCGACACUCUUACUUAUCGAAAGGACUACGAUUGAUCCCCUAUACNNNNNNNNNNACCUUACUUGGAUAAGCAUCCCACUUAUGAUUAACCUCUCUCGCAAGCAUCCGCAACUACAAAACAAGAAUUAAGACAAAGUCUAACCAUAGCAUUAAACUAGUGGAUCCAAAUCAGCCCCUGACGAAGCAACGCAUAGACUGUGGGUCAUCAAGACUCUUUUCUGGCGCCGUUGCCCGGGAGUGAAGCGCCUUUGGUAAGUGGAACUUGGUAAGGAAACAUUCAUAUAGUGUGCUGAAAUUUANNNNNNNNNNGCUCGUUCGGGGUAUCUUCACCUCGAACGGAAGCACAAAUAGUUUCUCCUCAACCUGCUGCACCUACUGAAAAUAUUUGCUUUGAAUUUCCUUCGGGUAUGCUUGAGAAACUGUUGGCUAAUCCUUUUACACGAGAUGGAACAUCACAUCCAGACUUGCAUCUAAUCUAUGUAGAUGAAGUUUGUGGUUUAUUUAAGCUUGCAGGUUUGCNNNNNNNNNNNNNNNNNNNNNNNNNNNNNNNNNNNNNNNNNNNNNNNNNNNNNNNNNNNNNNNNNNNNNNNNNNNNNNNNNNNNNNNNNNNNNNNNNNNNAGUAAAGAGACUUGCCGUUAAACGAGGUUGAAAUAGGUAUACGGAUACUGACGAUCGAAUCUCGGGCAAGUAACAUACCGAAGGACAAAGGGAAUGACAUACGGGAUUAUACGAAUCCUUGGCACUGAGGUUCAAACGAUAAGAUCUUCGUAGAAUAUGUAGGAUCCAAUAUGGGCAUCCAGGUCCCGCUGUUGGAUAUUGACCGAGGAGUCUCUCGGGUCAUGUCUACAUAGUUCUCGAACCCGCAGGGUCUGCACACUUAAGGUUCGACGUUGUUUUAUGCGUAUUUGAGUUAUAUGGUUGGUUACCGAAUGUUGUUCGGAGUCCCGGAUGAGAUCACGGACGUCACGAGGGUUUUCGGAAUAGUCCGGAAACGAAGAUUGAUAUAUAGGAUGACCUCAUUUGAUUACCGGAAGGUUUUCGGAGUUACCGGGAAUGUACCGGGAAUGACGAAUGGGUUCCGGGAGUUCACCGGAGGGGGGCAACCCACUCCGGGGAAGCCCAUAGGCAUUUGGGGGGGGGGUCACACCAGCCCUUAGUGGGCUGGUGGGACAGCCCACCAAUCCCCUAUGCGCCAAGAGAGAAAAAAUCAAAGGAAAGAAAAAAAAAGGAAGAAGUGGGAAGGGGGAAGGACUCCCUCCCACCAAACCAAGUAGGACUCGGUUUGGGGGGGGAGAGUCCUCCCCCCUGGCUCGGCCGACCCCUUGGGGAUCCCUUGGACCCCAAGGCAAGGUCCCCCUCCCUCCUCCUAUAUAUAUGGGGCUUUUAGGGCAGAUUUGAGACGACUUUCUCACGGCUGCCCGACCACAUACCUCCAUAGUUUUUCCUCUAGAUCGUGUUUCUACGGAGCUCGGGCGGAGCCCUGCUGAGACAAGAUCAUCACCAACCUCCGGAGCGCCGUCACGCUGCCGGAGAACUCUUCUACCUCUCCGUCUCUCUUGCUGGAUCAAGAUGGCCGAGAUCAUCGUCGAGCUGUACGUGUGCUGAACGCGGAGGUGCCGUCCGUUCGGUACUAGAUCGUGGGACUGAUCGCGGGAUUGUUCGCGGGGCGGAUCGAGGGACGUGAGGACGUUCCACUACAUCAACCGCGUUCUCUAACGCUUCUGCUGUACGAUCUACAAGGGUACGUAGAUCACUCAUCCCCUCUCGUAGAUGGACAUCACCAUGAUAGGUCUUCGUGCGCGUAGGAAAUUUUUUGUUUCCCAUGCGACGUUCCCCAUCAAAUAUUACCUAUUCUUUGACAUUUGUCACAAGACAAGACAAACUUACGGGCAUCCUCAAAGAGAGUGGGCCAAUAGAAACCUGAUUGCAAUACCUCGUGCGCAGUUCUAUCUCACGCAUGGUGUCCUCUAUAGGCCUCGGAGUGACACUUCUGUAGGAUCUGUCCCUGUUCAUGUUCACGUACACAACGUCUAAUAACACCAUCUACUCCUUCCUUAUAAAGGUGAGGGUCAUCCCAAAAGUAGUGUCUCAAGUCAAAGAAGAGUUUCUUCUUUUGCUGGUACGUGAAACUAGGUGGUAUAUAUUUGGCAACGAUAUAGUUUGCAUAAUCAGCAUACCACGGUGCACUACGUGAAGCAUUGAUGACAUUCAAUUGCUCAUCGGGAAAGCUAUCAUCAAUAGAUUGUGGGUCAUCAAGAACGUUCUCCAACCUAGACAAGUUAUCCGCUACUGGGUUAUCAACACCCAUUCUAUCAACAACGUGCAGAUCAAAUUCUUGUAGCAAGAGAACCCAUCUGAUAAGUCUAGGUUUAGCGUCCUUCUUCUCCAUGGGUACUUAAUAGCAGCAUGAUCAGUGUGUAUAGUGACUUGGGAAUCAACUAUGUAAGACCUGAACUUUUCACAUGCAAAGACGACUGCUAAAAAUUCCUUCUCCGUAGUAGCAUAGUUUCUCUGGGCACUGUCUAGAGUUUUACUAGCAUAGUGAAUAACAUUUAACUUCUUAUCAACUCUUUGCCCUAGAACAACACCAACAGCAUAAUCACUAGCAUCACACAUGAUCUCAAAAGGUAGGUUCCAAUCAGGUGGUUGAACAAUAGGUGCAGUUAUCAAAGCCCUCUUAAGUAUUUCGAAGGCUUCCUCACAAUCAUCGUCAAAGACAAAAGGAAUGUCCUUUUGCAAGAGAUUGGUAAGAGGCCUAGAAAUCUUAGAGAAGUCUUUAAUGAACCUUCUAUAGAAACCAGCAUGACCAAGGAAACUUCUUAUACCUUUUAUAUCUGUGGGGUAUUGCAUUUUCUCGAUUGCAUCAACCUUAGCCUUAUCGACUUCAAUACCUAUUUCAGAAAUUUUAUGUCCAAAGACGAUGCCUUCAUUAACCAUAAAUUGGCACUUCUCCCAAUUCAAGACAAGAUUGGUGUCUUUACAUCUCUGCAAGACUCGAUCGAGGUUGCUUAGGCAAUCAUCAAAGGAAGACCCGUAAAUGGAGAAGUCAUCCAUGAAAACCUCAAUAAUCUUUUCACAAAAAUCAGAGAAUAUAGCCAUCAUACAUCUUUGAAAGGUGGCAGGUGCAUUACAUAAGCCAAAAGGCAUACGUCUAUAGGCAAAGGUACCGAAAGGGCAGGUGAAAGUGGUUUUCUCUUGAUCAAAUUGUGCAACUGGUAUUUGGGAGAAACCAGAAUAACCGUCUAGAAAGCAGAAGUGUGUGUGUUUGGAUAGUCUUUCUAGCAUUUGGUCGAUAAAAGGCACAGGGUAAUGAUCUUUCCUAGGGGCCUUAUUCAACUUCCUAAAAUCAAUCACCAUCCUAUAGCCAGUAAUAAUCCUUUGUGGGAUCAACUCAUCCUUGUCAUUAGGGACAACGGUGAUGCCUCCCUUCUUAGGAACGCAAUGCACCGGACUCACCCAAUCGCUAUGAGCAACAGGAUAGAUAAUACCCGCUUGCAGGAGCUUUAGUAUUUCUUUUCUUACUACUUCUUUCAUCUUAGGAUUCAAUCUCCUUUGAUGAUCAGCAACUGGUUUGAAUUCAGGAUCAGUUUUGAUCUUGUGCUGGCAUAGAGUGGGACUAAUGCCCUUAAGAUCAUCAAGAGUAUAUCCUAUAGCAGCACGGUGCUUCCUGAGAGUUUUUAGUAACUUCUUUUCUUCAUGCUCCGAGAGGCUAGUGAUGACCCACAAGUAUAGGGAUCAAUCGUAGUCCUUUCGAUAAGUACGAGUGUCGAACCCAACAAGGAGCAGAAGGCUCUGAUAAACGGAUUUUAGCAAGGUAAUAACUACAAGCACUGAAAGUAGCGGUAACAAGUGAUUGUGUAGCGAGGUGAAACGUAGCAAGCAAAAAGUAACAAGUAACAAGUAGUAGCAACGGUGCAGCAAGUGGCCCAAUCCCUUUUGUAGCAAGGGACAAGCCUGAACAAAGUCUUAUAGGAGGAAAAACGCUCCCGAGGACACACGGGAAUUUAUGUCAUGCUAGUUUGAUCAUGUUCAUAUGAUUUGCGUUCGUUACUUUGAUAGUUUGAUAUGUGGGUGGACCGACGCUUGGGUACUACCCUUACUUGGAUAAGCAUCCCACUUAUGAUUAACCUCUCUCACAAGCAUCCACAACUACAAAAGAAGAAUUAAGACAAAGUCUAACCAUAGCAUUAAACUAGUGGAUCCAAAUCAGCCCCUCACGAAGCAACGCAUAGACUGGGGUUUAAGCUUCUGUCACUCCAGCAACCCAUCAUCUACUUACUACUUCCCAAUGCCUUCCUCUAGGCCCAAAUAUGGUGAAGUGUUAUGUAGUCGAUGUUCACAUAACACCACUAGAGGAAAAGACAACAUACAACAUAUCAAAAUACCGAACGAAUAUCAAAUUCACAUGACUAUUAUCAGCAUGACUUAUCCCAUGUCCUCAGGAACAAAAGUAACUACUCACAAAGCAUAAUCAUAAUCAUGAUCAGAGGUGUAAUGAAUAGAAUCAAGGAUCUGAACAUAAACUCUUCCACCAAGUAAUCCAACUAGCAUCAACUACAAAGAGUAAUCAACACUACUAGCAACCUUACAAGUACCAAUCGGAGUUGUGAGACGAAGAUUGGUUACAAGAGAUGAACUAGGGAUUAGAGAGGAGAUGGUGCUGAUGAAGAUGUUGAUGAAGAUGCCUCCCCUCCGACGAGAGGAGUGUUGUUGAUGACGAUGGCGACGAUUUCCCCCUCCAGGAGGGAAGUUUUCCCGACAGGUUCGUCCUGCCGGAGCUCUAGAUUGGAUUUGCUCAAGUUUCGCCUCGUGGCGGCGGCGAAACCACGAAAAAGCUCCAGAAUGAUUUUUUCUGGACCAAAACUCUUCAUAUAGCAAAAUAGGGUGGCUAGUAGGCCGUCAGGGAGCCCACAAGCCCCCACUCCGCCACGAGGGGGUGGCGGUGGCAGGGCUUGUGGUGCCCUGGCAGCCCCCCUCCGGUACUUCUUUCGCCCAAUAUUUUUUAUAUAAUCCCAAAAAAUCCACGUAACUUUUCACGGCAUUUGGAGAUGUGCAGAAUAGUGGGCUAAGAUUUGCUCCUUUUCCAGUCGAGAAUUCCAGCUGUCUGAAUUCUCCCUCUUCAAAUAAACCUUGCAAAAUAAGAGAGAAAAGGCAUAAAUAUGGUACCACAAAGUAAUAUAAAAGCCCAUAAAGCAAUAAAUAUCAACAUGAAAGCAUGAUGCAAAAUGGACGUAUCAACUCCCCCAAGCUUAGACCUCGCUUGUCCUCAAGCGAAAACCAAGUUCCAUAAACAUGUCCACAUGUUUAGGGACGAAGGUGUCGAUAAAACAUAAUACGAACAUGAGGGCAUCAUGAUCACACAUAGAACAACAAUACAUCAUAAAGAUUCUUAUGGGAAAGUAACAAUUCCUUCACAAAGCAAAGCAUGAAGCAAAAAACCUUACCGAGAAGUAACCAACAAUAAUCCAUAGUCAUUGAAGCAAUUGCAAUUUAUCACAACAUCAGAAAGAGUCAAAUAAGAGCUUGUAAGGCAAAUCCACAUACUCAAUCAUAUCUUUUGUUUUCCACAAUUGUUACAACUCACGUGGUACUCAUGGUGUCGAAGUUUCAGCUGGACACAGAGGAAGAUAGGGGCUUAUAGUUUUGCCUCCCAACGGUUUACCUCAAGGGUAAAGUCAACAACAAUAAAGCAUAAGUACUCAACUCCAAGUUGAUAUAUGAAUAUAUAUCUUUCCCAAACAUGCGACGGUAGCCAAGACAAAGGCAAAAAUAGGGAAUUCGUGAAGAUCACCAUGACUCUUACAAGGGCAAAAAGUAAAGGUACAAGAUAGGCCCUUCGCAGAGGGAAGUAGAGGUUGUCAUGCGCUUUUGAGGUUUUGAAUGUGUGUCCUCUUAGUGCGGAGGAACGUCACUUUAUAUUGCCUCCUGUGAUAAAGAACUUUAUUAUGCAAUCUGUCGCUUUUAUGUCUUCCUCAUCACAGGUUUGUACAAAGCUUAUUUUCCACACACUAAUAGAUCAUACAUAUUAGAGAGCAAUUUUUAUUGCUCGCACCGAUGACAACUUACUUGAAGGAUCUUAUUCAAUCCAUAGGUAGGUAUGGUGGACUCUCAUGGCAAAACUGGGUUGGAGGUUUAUGGAUGCACAAGUAGUAUCUCUACUUGGUGCGGGAGUUUUGGCUAAUAUGAGGUGGAAGCAAUCGUCACAUGCUAAGGGAUCUCUAAUCAUAUAACAUUGUUUGGAACCAAACAAACACAAUUCAUUAUGUUGUCUUCCUUGUCCAACAUCUACUCCUAAGCAUGUAAUAGUUUGGUGAGUGCUCACAAUUGUAAAAAGUGCCUAAGAUGAUAUAUUUAUAUGUGAACCUCUCUUUCCUUAUUACUUCUUAUUAAUUGCAACAAUGACUGGGGUCUGUGUUGAUUUAUUCUCAACAAGUUUCAAUCAUCAUACGUGUCAUAAGUGAAGUUAUUACUUUUCAUAAGAUCGUCUCAUGAUCUUUCAUGCUAUCGUUCUUUUCAUACUUUUGAUCAUGGCACAAAGCAAAGCCCUUGACUAAGAUACUCUUUAUUAUAUAGCUCGCGAGCUCGAAUACAUCAGGGGAGAGGCAAAAGCAAAAGACUCAAACUAAAAACUAAAGACUUAUUCCUCUAAGAGAAGAAAUAAAAAACUGAAAAGGAAAGAACUAAAACAAAGGUAAAAGCAAAAGAUAUAAAGGUGAUACGAUACCAGGGCAACUCCCCAAGCUUGGCAGAAGCCAAGGGGAUUGCCCAUACCAAUGCUUAGUUGUCUUCCUUUGGUGGUGAAGGUGGUGAAGUUGUUGGAGUAGUCUGAUCCUCCGUCUUCCAAGGCAUAGGUGCUCCAUCAUGGCAUGAUGAACGAGUCGCCGGAAUCCUCAAAUCUGCACCCAACCUUAUUGAUUUAAAUCUGUACUCAUACUCACAGUUUUGGUUCUGCAGGUCAUAGAUCUAGCCCUGAAGUUGAUCAACCCUGUCAUAGAGCCUGGCGAGGUGUUUCCCAAUGUCAAUGGCAUCCAUCUUGUGAUUGUUGGUGAACUCCGUGAUCAUCGUGUGGUUGGCAUUGAGUCCACGCUCCACCAUCCCUUGGCACUUCAAGACUUUUUGCUCCAUUGCUUUGAGCCUCGUCUCCACGCUUCCGGUCUUCUUAGGCCCCUCAACAUCACAGAUGUGCAACAUCCCCUCGCUCAUCUUGAUAGAUUGAGGGUGUUUCAACACUUCCCUGAGGUAGGGAUUGAUGACCUUCUCGAAGAUCUUGUCCUUAGGAGCGCUUAGGGAAGUCAUGAUGAUCUAGAUCUGUCACAGAAACAGGCUCGAAACGAAAACAGAGGAAAACUGCACGACACGGAGAUCAAAACCUUCGGGCUAGUAUAUAUUGAUUUUUUUUCUGGACCAGAAGGAGUGCUCCCCAAGAAAAUGAGAGUCCGGGAGGCACACGAGGUGCCCACAAGCUUGCCCUCCGCCACCAGGGGGUAGGGGCGGUGGCAGGCCUUGUGGCCGCCUCGUGUGCUCUCCGGACUGCUUUUUAUUUUCUAAUUUUCCAAAAAUUCCAAAACGGAGGAAAUUUCCUAUUGGGAAAGUGUCGGAGUCCAAUUUCUUACCGAAACAGAUACCUCUUCGUUUUCACGGUCUGAAACAGGCUGAUAAACAUCCCUUAUGUACUACUCUAGAGUUAUGACAUUGAUGAUAUUAGUCUCAACAUUUAUGGGAGUAUGAAAGAUGUAAUGCUUGAUUCUUUGCCCAUUUACCACUCUAGAAAAUUUCCUUCCGUGUUAUUGAUUUUGAUGGCACCGGAACGAUAUACUUCCUCGAUAACAUAGGGACCUUCCCAUUUAGAGAAAAGCUUGCCUGCAAAGAAUCUCAAACGAGAAUUGUAUAGAAAGACAUAAUCACCUACAUUGAACUCUCGUUUCUGUAUUCGUUUGUCGUGCCAUCUCUUAACCUUUUCCUUGAACAACUUGGCAUUCUCAUAUGCCUGGGCCCUCCAUUCAUCUAACGAGCUGAUAUCAAACAACCGCUUCUCACCGGCAAGUUUGAAAUCAAAGUUGAGCUCUUUGAUUGCCCAAUAAGCUUUGUGUUCCAGCUCAAGAGGUAAAUGACAGGCCUUACCGUAAACCCUUUUAUACGGUGACAUGCCCAUGGGAUUCUUAUAAGCAGUCCUAUAAGCCCAUAGUGCAUCGUCAAGUUUGCUAGACCAGUUCUUUCGAGAUCUAUUGUCGGUCUUUUGUAGGAUCAACUUAUCUCCCUAUUACUCAACUCCACUUGACCACUAGACUAAGGAUGAUAAGGGAUGCAACUCUAUGGUUGACAUCAUACUUAGCGAGCAUCUUGCGGAAAACACCAUGAAUGAAGUGUGAACCGCCAUCGGUCAUCAGAUAUCUAGGGACUCCAAAUCUUGGGAAAAUGACUUCUUUAAGCAUCUUAAUAGAGGUGUGGUGAUCAGCAUUUUUAGUGGGGAUAGCUUCUACCCACUUAGUGACGUAAUCCACAGCAACUAAGAUGUGAGUGUACCCAUUGGAACUCGGGAAGGGUCCCAUAUAAUCAAAGCCCCAGACAUCAAAUGGUUCAAUGACAAGUGAAUAGUUCAUAGGCAUUUUCUAACGCUUACUGAUGUUCCCUAUUCUUUGGCAUUCGUCACAAGACAAGACAAACUUACGGGCAUCCUUGAAGAGAGUGGGCCAAUAGAAACCUGAUUGCAAUACCUUAUGGGCAGUUCUAUCUCCAGCAUGGUGUCCUCCACAGGCUUCGGAAUGACACUUCUGCAAGAUCUGUCUCUGUUCAUGUUCAGGCACACAACGUCUAAUAACACCAUCUACUCCUUCCUUAUAAAGGUGAGGAUCAUCUCAAAAGUAGUGUCUCAAAUCAAAGAAGAAUUUCUUCUUUCGCUGAUAGGUGAAACUAGGUGGUAUGUAUUUGGCUACGAUAUGAUUUGCAUAAUCGGCAUACCACAGUGCACUAUGUGAAGUGCGGAUGACAUUUAAUUGCUCAUCAGGAAAGCUGUCAUCAAUAGGUAGUGGGUCAUCAAGGACAUUCUCUAGCCUAGACAAGUUAUCUGCUACAGGGUUAUCAGCACCCUUUCGGUCAACGACGUGCAAAUCAAAUUCCUGUAGCAGGAGAACCCAUCUGAUCAGCCUAGGCUUAGCGUCCUUCUUCUCCAUAAGGUACUUAAUAGCAGCAUGAUCAGAGUGAAUAGUGACUUUGGAGUCAACUAUAUAAGAUCUGAACUUUUCACAUGCAAACACGAGUGCUAAAAAUUCCUUCUCCAUAGUGGCAUAGUUUCUUUGGGCACUAUCUAGAGUUGUACUAGCGUAGAACUUCUUGUCAACUCUUUGUCCUAGAACAUCACCAACAGCAUAAUCACUAGCAUCGCACAUGAUUUCAAAGGGCAAGUUCCAGUCAGAUGGUUGAACAAUAGGUGCCGUUAUCAAAGCCUUCUUAAGUAUUUUGAAAGCUUCCUCACAAUCCUCAUCAAAAACAAAAGGAACAUCCUUCUGCAAGAGGUUGGUAAGAGGCCUAGAGAUCUUAGAGAAGUCUUUAAUGAACCUUCUAUAGAAACCGGCAUGACCUAGGAAACUUCGUAUACCUCUGAUAUCUGUGGGGCAAGGCAUUUUCUCAAUUGCAUCAACCUUAGCCUUAUCAACUUCAAUGCCUCUCUCAGAAAUUUUGUGUCCUAAGACGAUACAUUCAUUAACCAUAAAGUGGCACUUCUCCCAAUUCAAGACGAGGUUGGUAUCUUUGCAUCUCUGUAAGACUCGAUCAAGGUUGCUGAGGCAAUCAUCAAAGGAAGACCCGUAAACGGAGAAGUCAUCCAUGAAAACCUCGACAAUCUUUUCACAAAAGUCAGAGAAUAUAGCCAUCAUACAUCUUUGGAAGGUGGCAGGUGCAUUGCAUAAGCCAAAAGGCAUACGUCUAUAAGCAAAGGUACCGAAGGGGCAGGUGAAAGUGGUUUUCUCCUGAUCAGAUUGCGCAACAGGUAUUUGCGAUAAACCUGAAUAACCGUCUAGAAAGCAGAAGUGUGUGUGUUUUGAUAGCCUUUCUAGCAUUUGGUCGAUAAACGGCAAAGGAUGAUGAUCUUUCCUAGUUGCCUUGUUAAGUUUCCGGAAGUCUAUCACCAUCUUAUAGCCGGUAAUAAUCCUUUGUGGGAUUAGUUCAUCCUUAUCAUUAGGAACGACGGUGAGACCUCCCUUCUUAGGUACGCAAUGUACUGGACUUACCCAAUCACUAUGAGCAACAGGAUAAAUGAUUCCUGCUUCCAGAAGCUUUAAUAUUUAUUUUCUAAUGACCUCUUUCAUCUUAGGAUUUAAUCUCCUUUGAUGAUCAGCAACUGGUUUAAAGUCAGGAUCGGUUUUAAUCUUGUGCUGACAUAGAGUAGGACUAAUACCCUUAAGAUCAUCAAGAGUAUAUCCAAUAACAGCACAGUGCUUCCCCAGAGUUCUUAGUAACUUCUUCUCUUCGUGCUUUGAGAGGAGGGCACUAAUAAUGACAUGAUAUAUCUCCUUCUCAUCAAGAUGGGCAUACUUAAGAGUAUCAGGCAACUGUUUAAUCUCGAACACAGGAUCACCCUUUGGUGGGGGAGGAUCCCCAAGCAGUUCAACAGGCAGAUUAUUCUUGAGAAUAGGAUAUUGUUCUAAGACAAUUUGAUCUAUCUCAUCUCUCUCCUCCAUAUGCAUAUCAUUUUCAUGCUCAAGAAGAUAUUGCUCUAAAGGAUUCGUAGGAGGUACGGCAAUAGAUGCAAGAGCAAUGAUUUCAUCCCUACCAGACGACUCUCUUUCAUGGGGUUGUCUUCCAAACUUGGAGAAGUUAAAUUCAUGAGACACACCCUCGAAACUAACUGUGACGGUCUGCUUAAUGCAAUCAAUGUGAGCAUUGACAGUGUUGAGAAAGGGUCUACCAAAUAUGAUGGGACAAAAGCUAUCUUGUGCAGUACCAAGGACGAGGAAAUCAGUAGGAUACUUCGUCUUACCACACAGGACUUCUACGUCUCUCACAAUUCCCAGAGGGCAGAUAGUGUCUCUAUUAGCUAGCGUGAUAGUGACAUCAAUGGGUUCUAGCUCAACAGGUGCAAUCUCAUCUUUGAUUUCAUCAUAUAGAGAAUGGGGUAUUGCACGAACACUAGCUCCCAUAUCACAUAAACCAUGGUAACAGUGAUCUCCUAUCUUGACAGAAACAACGGGCAGGCCAACUACAGGUCCGUGUUUGUCUUUCGCGUGAGGUUUCUAGUGGAGUCCUCACGGAAUUUGAUAACAUGCCCAUCUAUGUCUUCGGCUAAGAGAUCUUUGAUAAUAGCAACACUAGGCUCAACUCUAAUCUCCUCAGGGGGUGCAAGUGGUCUAAUGUAACCCCUACGUAUCACAGUUGGAGCUUUAGAAUAAUCCUUUAUCCUAGCAGGGUAUGGUGGUUUCUCAGUGUAAGCACAAGGAAGAACAGGAUCACUAAAAGCAAUGACUUUCUCCUCAACUAGAUUGGUUUUGGCUAUGUUGCUUUGUACAGGAGGAUGAUAUUUAAACCACUUCUCUUUGGGAAUAUCAACAUGAGCAGCAAAAGAUUCACAUAGAGAAGCUACUAUCUCAGAGUUAAGUCCAUACUUAGCGCUAAAAUCUCUAGAAGUGUUUGUCUCAACAAAAGAUUUAACGCAAUCAAACUGGAAAUUCAUACGUCACUCCUUACCUUCCUCCAGCUCUCAAUCUUCAGAGUUGCAUUUGAUUCUCUCCAAUAAAUUCCACUUGUGAUCAAUAUCCUUCUUCAUAAAAGAACCGGUACAAUAAGUGUCAAGCAUGGUACGAUCUUCAUGAGAAAGCCGAGCAUAAAAGUUUUGAGUGAUGAUUUCUCUCGAGAGCUCAUGAUUGGGGCAUGAAUAUAGCAUUGAUUUAAGCCUCCCCCAAGCUUGAGCUAUGCUUUCCCUGUCACGAGGCCAAAAGUUAUAAAUAAAGUUCCGAUCACGAUGUACUAAAUGCAUAGGAUAGAACUUUUGAUGAAAUUCCAAUUUCAACCGAUUGUAGCCCCAUGAUCCAGUAUCAUCACAUAGCCUAUACCAUGUCAACGCCUUAUCCUUCAAAGAUAAAGGAAAGACUUUCUUCUUUACCUCAUCCUCGGGCAAACCUGCAAGCUUAAAUAAACGAUAAACUUCAUCUACAUAGAUUAGAUGCAAGUCUGGAUGUGAAGAUCCAUCUCCUGUAAAAGGAUUAGCCGCCAGUUUCUCAAGCAUACCCGAAGGAAUUUCAUAAAAGAUAUUUUCAGUAGGUACCUCAGGUUGAGGAACAACUCCUCGUGCUUCCGUUCGUGGUGAAGAUACCCCGAACAAACUCCUCAAAGGAAGAGUUUCCAUAGUGACAAGUGACAAUAAAUUUCAGCACAGUAUAUAAAUGUUUCCUUACCAAUUUCCACUUACCAAAGGCGCUUCGCUCCCCGGCAACGACGCCAGAAAAGAGUCUUGAUGACCCAAAAGUAUAGGGGAUCAAUCGUAGUCCUUUCGAUAAGUAAGAGUGUCGAACCUAACGAGGAGCAGAAGGCUCUGAUAAACGGAUUUCAGCAAGGUAAUAACUGCAAGCACUGAAAGUAGCGGUAACAAGUGAUUGUGUAGCGAGGUGAAACGUAGCAAGCCAAAAGUAACAAGUAACAAGUAGUAGCAACGGUGCAGCAAGUGGCCCAAUCCCUUUUGUAGCAAGGGACAAGCCUGAACAAAGUCUUAUAGGAGGAAAAACGCUCCCGAGGACACACGGGAAUUUCUGUCAUGCGAGUUUCAUCAUGUUCAUAUGAUUUGCGUUCGUUACUUUGAUAGUUUGAUAUGUGGGUGGACCGGCGCUUGGGUACUUCCCUUACUUGGACAAGCAUCCCACUUAUGAUUAACCUCUCUGGCAAGCAUCCGCAACUACAAAAGAAGAAUUAAGACAAAGUCUAACCAUAGCAUUAAACUAGUGGAUCCAAAUCAGCCCCUCACGAAGCAACGCAUAGACUGGGGUUUAAGCUUCUGUCACUCCAGCAACCCAUCAUCUACUUACUACUUCCCAAUGCCUUCCUCUAGGCCCAAAUAUGGUGAAGUGUUAUGUAGUCGACGUUCACAUAACACCACUAGAGGAAAAGACAACAUACAACAUAUCAAAAUACCGAACGAAUAUCAAAUUCACAUGACUAUUAUCAGCAUGACUUAUCCCAUGUCCUCAGGAACAAAAGUAACUACUCACAAAGCAUAAUCAUAAUCAUGAUCAGAGGUUUAAUGAAUAGCAUCAAGGAUCUGAACAUAAACUCUUCCACCAAGUAAUCCAACUAGCAUCAACUACAAAGAGUAAUCAACACUACUAGCAACCUUACAAGUACCAAUUGGAGUUGCGAGACGAAAAUUGGUUACAAGAUAUGAACUAGGUAUUGGAGAGGAGAUGGUGCUGAUGAAGAUGUUGAUGAAGAUGCCUCCCCUCCGACGAGAGGAGUGUUGGUGAUGACGAUGGCGACGAUUUCCCCCUCCGGGAGGAAAGUUUCCCCGACAGGAUUGUCCUGCCGGAGCUCUAGAUUGGAUCCGCUCAAGUUCCACCUCGUGGCGGUGGCGAAACCACGAAAAAGUUCCCGAAUGAUUUUUUCUGGACCAAAACCCUUCAUAUAGCAAAAGAGGGGGGCUAGUGGGCCGUCAGGGAGCCCACAAGCCCCCACUCCGCCACCAAUGGGUGGCGGUGGCAGGGCUUGUGGCGCCCUGGCAGCCCCCUCCGGUACUUCUUUCUCCCAGUAUUUUUUAUAUAAUCCCAAAAAAAUCCACGUAACUUUUCAGGGCAUUUGGAGAUGUGCAGUAUAGUGGACUAAGAUUUGCUCCUUUCAGAGUCCAGAAUUCCAGCUGCCUGAAUUCUCCCUCUUCAAAUAAACCUUGCAAAAUAAGAGAGAAAGGGCUUAAAUAUGGUACCACAAAGUAAUAUAACAGCCCACAAAGCAAUAAAUAUCAACAUGAAAGCAUGAUGCAAAAUGGACGUAUCAGCUAGCACUAAUAAUAACAGGAUAUAUCUCUUUUUCAUCAAGAUUGGCAUACUUAAGAGUAUCAGGCAACUGUUUAAGUUCGAACACAGGAUCACCCUUUGGUGGGGGUGUAUCCCCGAGCAGUUCAACAGGCAGAUUAUUCUUAAGGAUAGGAUAUUGUUCUAAGACAACUCUAUCUAUUUCAUCCCUUUCAUCCAUAUGCAUAUCAUUUUCAUGCUCAAGCAAGUAUUGCUCUAAGGGAUCAGUAGGAGGUACGACAAUAGAAGCUAAGGCAAUAGUUUCAUCCCCACUAGGAAACUCCUUUUCAUGAGGUUGUCUACCAAACUUAGAGAAAUUGAACUCAUGUGACACACCUUCAAAGCCAACAGUGACAGUUUGCUUCCCACAAUCAAUAUGAGCAUUAACAGUAUUGAGAAAAGGUCUACCAAAUAUGAUGGGACAGAAGCUAUCUUGAGCGGUAGCAAGAACGAGGAAAUCAGCAGGAUACUUCGUUUUACCACAUAAGACUUCAACAUCCCUAACAAUUCCACAGGGCAAAUAGUAUCUCUAUUGGCAAGCUGAAUAGUGACAUCAAUAGGCUCUAUCUCAACAGGUGCAAUCUCAUCUUUGAUUUCAUCGUAUAAGGAUUGAGGUAUUGCACUAACACUAGCACCCAAGUCACAUAAACCAUAAUAACAAUGAUCUCCUAUCUUAACAGAAACCACACGCAUGCCAACGAUAGGCCUAUGUUUGUCUCUAGCAUGAGGUUUAGCAAUUCUAGCAGCAUCUUCACAAAAGUAAAUAUUAUGUUCCUCAACUUCUUCAGACAUAAGAUCUUUGAUAAUAGCAAUGCUAGGUUCAACUCUAAUUUGCUCAGAGGGUGUAGGUGUUCUAAUAUAGCCUCUACAUAUCACAGUUGAAGCUUUAGAAUGAUCCUUUAUCCUAACAGGGAAAGGUGGUUUCUCAAUGUAAGCACUGGGUACCAAAGGAUCAUUAUAGGCAAUGACUUUCUCUUCAACUGGAGUGGGUUUAACUACAUUGACUUCUAAAGGAGGAUGAAAUUUAAACCACUUCUCUUUGUGGAGAUCAAUAUGACCAGCAAAGGAUUCACACAGUGAAGCUACUAUCUCAGAGUCAAGUCCAUACUUAGCGCUAAAAUCACAAAAAGUAUUUGUCUCAACAAAGGAUUUAACGCAAUCAAAAGUGAAAUUCAUACCUGACUCCUUACCUUCUUCAAGCUCCCAAUCUUCAGAGUUGCGUUUAAUUCUCUCUAAUUAAUUCCAUUUGAAGUCAAUAUCUCUCUUCAUAAAAGAACCGGUACAAGAAGUGUCAAGCAUGGUGCGAUCAUCAUGAGAAAGCCGAGCAUAGAAGUUCUGAAUGAUAAUUUCUCUCGAGAGCUCAUGAUUGGGGCAUGAAUAUAGCAUUGAUUUAAGCAUCCCCCAAGCUUGAGCGAUGCUUUCUCUGUCACGAGGCCAAAAAUUAUAAAUAUAAUUCCGAUCACGAUGUACUAAAUGCAUAGGAUAAAACUUUUGAUGAAAUUCCAAUUUCAACCGAUUGUAGUCCCAUGAUCCAGUAUCAUCACAUAGCCUAUACCAUGUCAAUGCCUUAUCCUUCAAAGAUAAAGGAAAGACCUUGUUCUUGACCUCAUCCUCGGGCACACCUGUAAGCUUAAAUAAACCACAAACCUCAUCUACAUAGAUCAGAUGCAAGUCUGGAUGUGAUGUUCCAUCUCCUGUAAAAGGAUUAGCCAGCAAUUUCUCAAGCAUACCCGAAGGAAAUUCAAAGCAAAUAUUUUCAGUAGGUGCAGCAGGUUGAGGAGCAACUCUUUGUGCUUCCCUUCAAGGUGAAGAUACCCCGAACGAGACCCUCAAAGGAUUAGUAUCCAUAGUGACAAGUGACAACAAAUUUCAGCACACUAUAUGAAUGUUUCCUUACCAAGUUCCACUUACCAAAGGCGCUUCACUCCCCGACAAUGGCGCCAGAAAAGAGUCUUGAUGACCCACAAGUAUAGGGGAUCAAUCGUAGUCCUUUCGAUAAGUAAGAGUGUCGAACCAAACGAGGAGCAGAAGGAUCUGACAAGUGGUUUUCAGCAAGCACUGAAAUUGUCGGUAAUAAGUGAUUGUGUGGUGAGAUGAUUCGUAGCAAGCAACAAGUAACAAAAGUAGCAACGGUGCAGCAAAGUGGCCCAAUCCCUUUUAUAGCAAGGGACAAGCCUCGACAAAGUCUUAUAGGAGGAAGAACACUCCCGAGGACACACGGGAAUUUCUGUCAUGCUAGUUUCAUCAUGUUCAUAUGAUUCGCGUUCGUUACUUUGAUAGUUCGAUAUGUGGGUGGAACGGCGCUUGGGUACUGCCCUUACUUGGACAAGCAUCCCACUUAUGAUUAACCCCUCUCGCAAGCAUCCGCAACUACGAAAGAAGAAUCAAGACAAAGUCUAACCAUAGCAUUAAACUAGUGGAUCCAAAUCAGCCCCUUAUGAAGUAACGCAUAAACUAGGGUUUAAGCUUCUGUCACUCUAGCAACCCAUCUUCUACUUACUACUUCCCAAUGCCUUCCUCUAGGCCCAAAUAAUGGUGAAGUGUUAUGUAGUCGACGUUCACAUAACACCACUACAGGAAAAUCAACAUACAACAUAUCAACAUGCCGAACGAAUACCAAAUUCACAUGACUGUUAUUAGCAUGACUUAUCCCAUGUCCUCAGGAACAAAAGUAACUACUCACAAAGCAUAAUCAUAAUCAUGAUCAGAGGUGUAAUGAGUAGCAUCAAGGAUCUGAAGAUAAACUCUUCCACCAAGUAAUCCAACUAGCAUCAACUACAAAGAGUAAUCAACACUACUAGCAACCUUACAAGUACCAAUCAGAGUCGUGAGACGGAGAUUGGUUACAAGUGAUGAACUUGGGUUUGGAGAUGAGAUGGUGCUGAUGAAGAUGUUGAUGGUGACGAGUCCCCUCCGGUGAGAGGAGUGUUGGUGAUGACGAUAGCGACGAUUUCCCCCUCCGGGAGGGAAGUUUCCACGACAGGAUCGUCCUGCCGGAGCUCUAGAUUGGUUCUGGUCAAGUUCAGCCUCGUGGCGGCGGCGAAACCACAAAAAAGCUCCCUUCUGAUUUUUUUCCUGGACGAAACCCUCCAUAUAGCAAAAGAGGGGGGCAAGUGGUCCAGCAGGGUGCCCACAAGCCCCCAUGGCGCGUCCUGGGGGGUGGCCGCGCCGUGCAGGCUUGUGGCCACCCCGUGGCGCCCCUCUGGCACUUCUUCGGCCCUGUAUUUUUUAUAAAUUGGGAAAAAAAAUCUUCGUUGAUUUUCACGGCGAUUGGAGUUGCGCAGAAUAUGUAUCUCAACUUUUCUCCACUUUCAGGCCAGAAUUCCAGUUGCCGGUAUUCUCUCUCUUCAUGUAAACCUUGCAAAAUAAGAGAGAAAAGGCAUAAGAAUAGUACGGUGAAGUGAAAUAACAGCCAAAGAAGCGAUACAUAUCAACGUGAAAACAUGAUACAAAAUGGACGUAUCAGUGGGUCCCGCCUCCGGCGCUCUCCUUUGGCCUAUAUGUCCCUCGUGACCUAAAAGUUACGGGGAGCAUAGAGUUUUCGUGAUUGCGCCGCCGCUCCGUGGCGGAAACCUACAAAGAAGAAAAGACCUUUCUGGCGGGCAGUUUCCACCGGGGAGAACUCCUCCCGGAAGGGGAGAUCGUCGCCAUCAUCAUCACCAUCGUCACGCGCGUCAUCGAGAUCAUCAUCACCAUCACCAGCACCAUCUCCAUCUUCACCUAUCUCACCUUACCAUUUCAAUCGAAGUUGUACCUUGCACUAUUCAUCCCCCCUACUCUACCGGUGUUGAUUACACUUUUGUGGUGAAUGCUAUUGAGUUUUGUUGGAGAAUUAUUGCUAUGACCAGAUUGUUUAUCAUAUUCAUAUCACCUCUGAUCAUGAUCUCUUUUAUGUCUUGUGAGUAGUUCCUUUAGUUCUUGAGGACAUGGGAAAAGUCUAGAUGUUAGUAGUCAUAUGAUGUUGAAGUAAUAUGUGUUGAUUGAUAUUUAAGUUAUGGUGUUAUUCUUCUAGUGUUGUUAUAUGAACGUCGACUACAUAACACUUCGCCUUUUUAAGGACCUAGGGGAAUGCAUCGUGUAUAAAGAAUGCUUAUGGUGGGUACCCGAGUUCGCAUACUUUUGCAUGAGGGAGUAUUGGAUCCUAAAGCUUAUUGCUAUGGUUAGGCUUUGCCUUAAUUUCUCUCUUGUAUUUGUGGACGCUUGCAAGAGGGAUUAAACAUAAGAGUGUAUUGUCUUAGCCUAGACGGUGCACUAGUUAAGAUCCACCCACAUAACACUUAUCAAUACAAAACAUGCUACUAUAGAGAAUAUGGCGAAAGCACUUGACUAUCUCUCCCCUAUGUUCUCAGAAACGUCUUAGUCUUUAUAAGUUCAUUCCACCGGCUUAUCCUUCGUGUUGAAAAGGAUUGCGCCACUUGCUGCACCUCAGCAUCAUUUACUUUUAUUGCAUUUAUUUCCGCUUUCUUAUAUCAGAAAACCCAUAAAAAGUUACAUUUCAGUACUUCAAGUUAUUCCUUGCUCAAGACCACUUGUCAGUACCUUCUGCUCCUCGUUGGGUUUGACACUCUUACUUAUCGAAAAUGCUACGAUAGAUCCCCUACACUUGUGGGUCAUGAGGCGGCGGCGCGAAGUACCUUAUGAGUUCGUCCGGGGCGCCAUGAAAAGGUCGCGCGCAAGGUCGGUGCUUCGCCAGCAGCGAAACCGGAGGUCAACCCCGCGCAAAGGGUUUGCCGCGGCGACAUAUUGGUCGCGGGCGUAGGGAGGGGUUGGGAGAUGUCGGCGCGGACGCCCAUCACAGAAAUUUCACCGGCGAAGACGGGAGCGACCGGAGCUAUCAGGUGGCGGUUGGUGGUUCGCAUGCGAGAUUCGCUUGUCCAACGCGUUAGAGCACGCACACCAAAUAGGCCGCAUGCCAUGUAGUUUUUCGUGUUUACUACGCGUGACAUUAUAAAAUGACUGCUGAAGCCCUACUUUCAACAUAUAACAGGUUUUUUAGCGCGUGGUUUAUUUAGAGUAUCUUCAACAGGAAGGCAACCGGGCGACGCGCUAAAAUAAGUUUACAACACGGAAAUAGCAAUUUUUUGCGCGCCACGGAGCGCUGAAAAAAAAUGCACGCACCAUUCCAAUAGAAGCGCUAAAAUUUAAAACGCGUGAUACAUAUUAUAUGCAAAAACAAAAUGUAAAGCGCACGGUGAGAGGGCGCGUGGCGAGGCACACAGCGGUGGGAGGGUGCGUGGAGGGGCGCUAAAUUUAUAAAGUGUGUCGAACACCCCGCGCCAAAGCUAGGGCGCGCCAGACCGUUUUUUCACGCGUACGUGAUCUUUUUCUGCCGGAAUCUUCCACGCGUCGGAAUCUCCCGCGCCCAGUGAAACGCACGAAACCGUUCCGCGAGCGUUAAACCCACAUUUGUACCGCCGCUGUUGGAGAUAAACCUGAGAAUGAUUUCAUACUUAAACCAUACUUAAACCAUACCCGUUCAUUUAUUUUCCAAAACCAUACUUGUACCAUACCCAUUUAAUGUCAUUUUCAGCCUAACCAAAACUGAACCCACUAUUUUUUCCAUCCAAACCAAUUUAAACCCAAUACAUAACCGUGGGUUUAAACCCGGGAAGGUUUGGCACCUCGAUGUCGGCUCUUCGCCACCUGGAGCUGUAGGUGGUUCCAAGGGUUGGGUUGUUCGCCCAUUAAUGCGGUACGUGAGCUGGGUUCAGAAUAUCGUGAGACAGUUCGGUCCAUAUCCGGUGUGGGCGGUUAGAGCAUUGAGAGGACUUUUCCCUAGUACGAGAGGACCGGGAAGGACACACCUCUGGUGUACCAGUUAUCGUGCCUACGGUAAACGCUGGGUAGCCAAGUGCGGAGAGGAUAACUGCUAAAAGCAUAUAAGUAGUAAGCCGUACAUAACUAUGAGUUUGCUUUAAUGUAUAUAUAAUUUCAUAAAUUGACAUGUUAAGAACUAAAUGAGAUAGAAAAGGCAUAAGUGCAUCUACAACAGUUUGGGAACAAAGUUAUUCUUGAGAUACGAUCAACACACAACAAGAGGCAAAAAGAAAAUGCCCACAACUGAAAAGCUCACUAAGAGGUGUAUUAAAACCAAAUUGCUUAGCUAAAGUACAAGCAAACACUUUUGAUUUUCAAGCCUAAAGGAGGUGCAGCGAACUGACCUGACCAGAUCGCACCUGACCCUCCCACGUCGCUUCCGUUGGCGACGGGGAGGGCUCCCCAUCCGCCACCUCCAGCAGCCUCCUCUCCCUCUCUCCUUCCUCGCCGCCGCCUAAGGACGCGGCGGGGCAAAGCCUGGCCCGCGUCGCCGAUCCGGUCGGUGUAGGCCGCGGCGGGGAUUUCCCUUCUCCUCGUUAGAUUGGCUGGGCGUGGCGUGCCAGUCGGCUGGACGUGGCUAGAAGAUGAAGGUGGGGCUGGGCGUGGCCGGUGGUGGUGGCAGCGGCGGCGUUCAGCCCGGAUCCGGUCUUGGCGGUGGCGACGGCUAACCCGGAUCCGACCAUGAUGGUGGCGGCGUCCCCUCCGCCGGGGAUGACAGGCCAGGUGGUGGGUCUUUGUGGCGCCACCGGUGACAGCGGAUCUUGGGAUCCCGUGACCGGGCUCGUCGCGGGAUUCGGUACUGGCUGCGAGUCGGGGAGACAUAGUUGCCGGUGAAAACCGAGCCAACGACGGACUAUGGCGGCGUUAUGCGCCGUUACCUUGAUGAAGGCUUCAUCUUGUAACUACUGUCGAUCCACUCGUGCUGCUCCAGGAGAAACCCUAGGAUCUGGUUUUCCAGAUCGGACAAUGACGACAUUGCGGUGUCGUUCCUCUCUAGGGAGCAUCGUUUGUGGAGCAGCACUGAAACACAGAGGCAGGAGGUGGAGCGUCUUCGUCCUGCACGGAGCUUCGGUGGUGAUGUCAGGUCAUGCCUGGUCGACACGUGCUUACGUUUUGUCAUGCCUGUUCGGCAGGUGCUACGCACGACAGAUCUUACAGAGUCUUCGUGUUUGGAUGGACGAGCGCAAGGAGGUCGAUCCACUCGUGCUGCUCCAGGAAAAACCCUAGGAUCUGGUUUUCCAGAUCAGAUGAUGGCGGCAUCACGGUGUCGCUCCUCUUUAGGAAGCAUCGUUUGUGGAGCGACGGCGAGGCGAGCAAAGAUGAGAAAGAGCGGCAGCGAGAGCGAUGAGAGGACGUUUGGCGAGGCACAGAGCGGUGGAAAGGCGCGUAAAGGGGCGUUAAAUUUAUAAAACGCGUAGAACGCCACGCGCCAAAGCUAGCGCGCCGGACCGCGUCCAAUGAAACGCACCAAACCGCUCCGCCAGCGUUAAAUUCACAUUUCCCCGCGUCUUUUACCGCCACUGUUGGAGAUGAUCUUAGCGCCUGAGAUGCUCCCUGCUGUGUCCAGAACAGAACAAGAAGGGCACGAGUCCAAUCACUCGCAGAAAAAAGACUCGANNNNNNNNNNNNNNNNNNNNNNNNNNNNNNNNNNNNNNNNNNNNNNNNNNNNNNNNNNNNNNNNNNNNNNNNNNNNNNNNNNNNNNNNNNNNNNNNNNNNCCUCUUUCAGAAAUUUUAUGUCCUAAGAUGAUGCUUCAUUAACCNUAAAGUGGCACUUCUCCCAAUUCAAGACAAGAUUGGUGUCUUUACAUCUCUGUAAGACUCGAUCAAGGUUUCUUAGGCAAUCAUCAAAGGAAGACCCAUAAACGGAGAAGUCAUCCAUGAAAACCUCAAGAAUCUUUUCACAAAAGUCAGAGAAUAUAGCCAUCAUACAUCUUUCAAAGGUGGCAGGUGCAUUACAUAGGCCGAAAGGCAUACGUCUAUAAGCAAAGGUACCAAAAGGGCAGGUGAAAGUGGUUUUCUCCUGAUCAGGUUGUGCAACUGGUAUUUGGGAGAAACCAGAAUAACCGUCUAGAAAGUAGAAGUGUGUGUGUUUGGACAGCCUUUCUAGCAUUUGGUCGAUAAAAGGCAAAGKSYWAUGAKCAKYMCGGUGCUUUCUCUAAAGUUUUAGUAACUUCUUUUCUUCAUGCUAUGAGAGGCUAGCACUAAUUAUGACAGGAUAUAUCUUCUUUUCAUCAAGNNNNNNNNNNNNNNNNNNNNNNNNNNNNNNNNNNNNNNNNNNNNNNNNNNNNNNNNNNNNNNNNNNNNNNNNNNNNNNNNNNNNNNNNNNNNNNNNNNNNCCAAUCUCCGUCUCGCGACUCCGAUUGGUACUUGUAAGGUUGCUAGUAGUGUUUGAUUACNCUUUUGUAGUUGAUGCUAGUUUGGAUUAWUUUGGUGGAAGAGUUUAUGUUCAGAUCCUUGAUGCUACUCAUUACAUCUCUCGUCAUGGAUAUGAUUAUUCUUUGUGAGUAGUUACUUUUGUUCCGGAGGACAUGGGAUAAGUCAUGCUAAUAGUAGUCAUGUCAAUUUGGUAUUCGUUCGAUAUUUUGAUGUGUUGUAUGUUAUUUUUCCUCUAGUGGUGUUAUGAGAAUGUCGACUACAUAACACUUCACCAUUAUUUGGGCCUAGAGGAAGGCAUUGGGAAGUAGUAAGUAGAUGAUGGGUUGCUAGAGUGACAGAAGCUUAAACCCUAGUUUAUGCGUUGCUUCAUAAGGAGCUGAUUUGGAUCCACUAGUUUAAUGCUAUGGUUAGACUUUGUCUUAAUUCUUCUUUCGUAGUUGCAGAUGCUUGCGAGAGGGGUUAAUCAUAAGUGGGAUGCUUGUCCAAGUAANNNNNNNNNNNNNNNNNNNNNNNNNNNNNNNNNNNNNNNNNNNNNNNNNNNNNNNNNNNNNNNNNNNNNNNNNNNNNNNNNNNNNNNNNNNNNNNNNNNNGGUCUAAGAGAGGACAAGACAGAAGAAUCAGAAGACAUAUGAAAUGAAGCUCCAGAAUCCAAAACCCAUGGGGAUGUACCUGACUGUGUAGACGGUGGUUGCUCAGCACUAGAAGCACGAGUCAUAGAGCCUACAGUACCCGCUGAAGAACCUGAAGCGGCAAGUAGAUGCUUAAGCUUCACAAUAUCCUGCUCACUCAAGGAGAGUAGACAUCGUCGAGGAAGAAGCUCGAGUCCCAGAAGAAGAAUUGCGCUCCCUAUUACGCAUAUCAUGCUUCUUGAAACAAUCAGACUCGUGGUGACCAUCCCUAUUGCAGUAGCUGCAAUGAGUAUGAGGAUGAGAGCGGUCGUCACAAGAGCGGUCGUCACAAGAGCGAGCCUCACUAGCAGAAGGAGUGGGCAAUAGCGGUGGAGCCCUGUUGGGAGAAAACACUGAUGGAGCAGCUGCUCGGGUAGCAAGCACAGAAGGAGCCUGAAUUAAACCAGCUCCACCGAGGCGAGUCUCCUCAGCACGUAGCUCAGAAAGCACCUCCGAAAUAGGCACACGACCACGAGCAAACAACUGAGCAUGUCGAGGCUCAAACUCUCCACAGAGGCGAGACAAAGACUCGUAGACGCGAUGAAACUCCAGGUCUGACCUGACAGUCUGACAACACGGGCAAGUAACACAAACAGGAGAGCAAAGAGAGUCAAGUUGAUGCCAGAUAGCAGAACUCGAGUGUAGAACUCAUCAAUAGUAGAGUCUCUCUGCUGAAGAGCAUGCUCCUGACGGACCACAGAUAGGUAGAGAGCNNNNNNNNNNCGAAAAUGAGUUCACAUCUCAAAGGCAGUAUUGAACCCCAUAAACUCAGAAGCAAACUGAGGCAGCACACUGGAAGUGAGGACAGCCGCAGCACGGGCAUAAUCAUCACACCACUGAGUGUUGGCAGUCAGAUUAUCUCGAUAAUCGGAAAGAGCAUUCGUAUCCUAAUUUUUGGCCUAAUUCUUCUUCUGAUGAUCGAUUCAACCUCUGAUAAAAAAGAUAGACCUUGGUUCUAUUUCAUCUCUUCAUCAAGUUUAGUAAUAAGCAUAAUGGCCCUAUUGUUCCGAUGGAGAGAAGAAUCUAUAAUUAGCUUUUCGGGAAAUAUCCAAACGAACAAUUUCAACGAAAUCUUUCAAUUUCUCAUUUUAUUAUGUUCAACUUUAUGUAUUCCUCUAUCCGUAGAGUACAUUGAAUGUACAAAAAUGGCUAUAACAGAGUUUCUGUUAUUCGUAUUGACAACUACUCUAGGGGGAAUGUUUUUAUGUGGUGCUAACGAUUUAAUAACUAGAGUAAUCCAAAACCUGUUGAUUAUAAGCAGCCUCUGCAUCAUCAUCAACAAUCCUGUCUGCUUCCGUAUCAGCCUCAGAAGCACCCGUGGGAAGAACCUGUGGCGUCGGUGGGAUAGGAGUCACAGGAGGAACUGGGCGCGGCGGACACGGGACCUCGCCAAAGAACGCCCCAAAGACGAAUACCACGCAUGUGAAUGCGCAUAAUGAAAGCAAACUCAGCAUAGUUAGCCCCAUCAAAAAUCACCGAGCAGCGAGGGACAACGAUGUAGGCCGACGACGAAGACAUCACACCCCACUUGUUUUUUCAUUUUUUUUUGAGGAAUAUAAUCUGGAUCUAGAUCACGAAUCGGACUGGAACUAAUAGUAGUUCCACGCCACACAGACACACACGUGUUCACCCGCGGAAGUCAGCAACACCGGAUGGGCGGUCGGUGGCGACAGGCGGAUGGCACCGGUGGACGGCGGCGAACGCGGCCGGUGGACGACGCUGGCGGCGACAGGACGAGCGGUCGGCGGUGACAGCCGGGCGACGGUUGGCGGGGAGCGGCAGGGACUCCGGCGCGACCACGAGGCUGGAUCUGGUCGACGCAGGACCACGAGCAAGCGUCGGGACUCAAUCCAGGAGGAACGUGGUGCUUCACUUGUGCGUCGACGGCAGGGGCGCCGAGGCGUGAGCGAGAAAGAGCGGUUCGUUGCUCAGACCAGGUUGGUCGCAGACCUUGAUGGCGCCAGGCGUCCUCGAUCUGAAGGCCGCCGACGGCGGGAACCAGUGAUUGAAGAUGGUCCUGCGGCGAAUGACAGAGGCGGCCAGCGACGGGAAGCAAGUCGAGUAUCGGCUCGAUCCAGAGGGGUGGGUGGGAGCAGCGGCAACAAAUGAACUGUACGCGGGGGCGGGGUAGCAGCAGCGGUAUGGAGCAGCACAGCCGAUUGUCUGGGCGUGUUGCGGCACCCACAAAAAGAUCCCUAACCUAGGCUCAUGAUACCAUGUUGAUGUUAGAGGANNNNNNNNNNNNNNNNNNNNNNNNNNNNNNNNNNNNNNNNNNNNNNNNNNNNNNNNNNNNNNNNNNNNNNNNNNNNNNNNNNNNNNNNNNNNNNNNNNNNACCACCUAACAUUCCUGCAUAUCAUGUCUUCAGUACUUUUUAACGAACAAAACAUACACAAAAAAUACCAAAUUAGCUUAAUAUUUUAAAAGAAAAUGUUCUCUGGUUGAUACGCUUUUGUAUUGAUCUACGUCAGGUCCAUAGUUAUGAUGUUCUGCAAGAUUUAAAUGUUUNNNNNNNNNNNNNNNNNNNNNNNNNNNNNNNNNNNNNNNNNNNNNNNNNNNNNNNNNNNNNNNNNNNNNNNNNNNNNNNNNNNNNNNNNNNNNNNNNNNNNNNNNNNNNNNNNNNNNNNNNNNNNNNNNNNNNNNNNNNNNNNNNNNNNNNNNNNNNNNNNNNNNGUAUGUUACUUAGUUGGAGUCUGGUCAAAAGUACUAAAUGCUUACCUGAGUGCACGCAUGGGUUGAAGGCCUGAUUGCUUCGUAGGUUGGUGACCUACAACAGAACUUUAGAGCUUUAGCUUUUUUUAUAUGAGUCUCUCUUAGACUGAACAUAUAGUAGUAUUUAUCCCAAAAAAUGUAUAGCAGUAUUUAAACAUUAUUAGUCCUAUUCUGUAGACACACUUAAACCACAUUACAGUGAUUGGUUGAGACAUCAAAGAGCAGGCAAACUGCUUUCUGUUUGUCAGGUGAGAAGACACAACCAAAUAAUUUUGAACUUAUUGUGCAUGUCAUGAAGUUAAUGUAUUUCUAUGGAUAAUGUACAGUUUAACUAGUUAUGCAUCAGAACAUCCCGAUCUCUUCUUAGAAAACAUCCUGAUAUAAAAUAUGCGGAUGUGUAAGAUGAGGGUUCCUUUAUAGAUAAAGGUAACUUAGAUUGGCNNNNNNNNNNNNNNNNNNNNNNNNNNNNNNNNNNNNNNNNNNNNNNNNNNNNNNNNNNNNNNNNNNNNNNNNNNNNNNNNNNNNNNNNNNNNNNNNNNNNCUCUCACCAACAGGACCAUUAGUUGCGAAUCCAAAAUCAGUGAGCUUCGCAGUAUAGUCCUGCACAGUAGUAUGAUGCAUUCCUUUCAGUGGACAUCACAUGAUCAUAAAGGUGAAGUGCGAUGUAUUGACGAUCCACUUACGCUGUCAAGGAGAAUAUUGGAACUCUUAACAUCUCUAACAAUAAUNNNNNNNNNNCCUAUAUGCAUAGUGUCUGAAGUUGUAUUUCGAAGAUUACCUGUUGUAAUAUAUUCCGGAGCAGCAUAACCAUAUGUUCCCACAACCAUUGUGGAUACAUGACUCUUCUCACCAACGGGACCAUCAGUUGCGAAUCCAAAAUCACUGAGCUUCGCAGUAUAGUCCUGCACAGUAGUAUGAUGCAUUCCUUUCANNNNNNNNNNCUUUGCUUCUGUACUGUGAAGGUAAGCUAUUGCUUUCGCAGCUCCAAGUGCAACUUUCGUUCUCAGGUUCCAUGCAAGAGGUUGACAUGAGCCUCCUAUAUCAAAGAUUUAUAUAGCAAUUUAUAAAUAUAACACACUAUGGCGUUACACUAUGCAGUACGAAUAACAGUGGACAACAGUGGAGCACAAAGUCCUAAUUUANNNNNNNNNNNNNNNNNNNNNNNNNNNNNNNNNNNNNNNNNNNNNNNNNNNNNNNNNNNNNNNNNNNNNNNNNNNNNNNNNNNNNNNNNNNNNNNNNNNNCCACAAAAUAGAAUGACAGUUAUACUCACCAACCACUCUCGAUGCCCUUGUACCCCCUCGUGGUUUAAUCUUUUCACUGCAACAGGUAUACUAGUGCAAGAUUUGCCAGAUGACAAUGUGUUCUCAUCGAUCCAUCCUUUAUAUACAGUUCCAAACCCUCCUUCACCAAUCACACAGUCAACAUGGAAUUUCCUUGUGGCUGACCUGAGAUUAUCAUAACUGAACAUCUUAACACUGGCUGAUGGCAAGAUCUGGCAUUUAAUACUCCCAUCUUUACCACCACCUAACAUUCCUGCAUAUCAUGUCUUCAGUACUUUUUAACGAACAAAACAUACACAAAAAAUACCAAAUUAGCUUAAUACUUUAAAAUAAGAUGUUCUCUGGUGGAUACACUUUUGUAUUAAUCUACGUCAGGUCCAUAGUUAUGAUGUUCUGCAAGAUUUAAAUGUUUGGUUCUAUUCUUUAGGGAAACUGCACAGAAACUAGGAACAGACUCAAGCAAGCUUGGUCACUUACCAUCAUCUAAAAAUGGUAUGAGCGGAGAGAAGCAUAGUUGCCUGGAAAGGUCCAGGAGGGAGUCCANNNNNNNNNNCCAACAUGAAACUUCCUUGUGGCUGACCUGAGAUUAUCAUAACUGAACACCUUAACACUGGCUAAUGGCAAGAUCUGGCAUUUAAUACUCCCAUCUUUACGACCACCUAACAUUCCUGCAUAUCAUGUCUUCAGUACUUUUUAACGAACNNNNNNNNNNAUAUGUUACUUAGUUGGAGUCUGGUCAAAAGUACUAAAUGCUUACCUGAAUGCACGCAUGGGUUGAAGGCCUGAUUGCUACGUAGGUUGGUGACCUACAACAGAACUUUAGAGCUUCAGCUUUUGUUUAUAUGAGUCUCUCUUAGACUGAACAUAUAGUAUUAUUUACCCCAAAAAAUGUAUAGCAGUAUUUAAACAUUAUUAGUCCUAUUCUGUAGACACACUUAAACCACAUUACAGUGAUUGGUUGAAACAUCAAAGAGCAGGCAAACUACUUUCAGUUUGUCAGGUGAGAAGACACAACCAAAUAAUUUUGAACUUAUUGUACAUGUCAUGAAGUUAAUGUAUUUUUAUGGUUAAUGUACAGUUUAACUAGUUAUGCAUCAGAAUAUCCCGAUCUAUUCUUAGAAAACAUCCUGAUAUAAAAUAUGCGAAUGUGUAAGAUGAGGGUUCCUUUAUAGAUAAAGGUAACUUAGAUUGGCAGGGUGUAGUAAGAAGUGUGCUUUUUACAAACAUGAGGGAUUUGUCCAAUAUUUGUUCUUUGACUAUUAGUUCACGCAUUUUGCGUUGCGUGUGGUCAGAUCUGGCAUCUCCAUCAGAGAGCACUACUCAUAUUUUUGGUAAUUAGCUCAUACGGGACCUAAAAGAUUUAGGGAAAACUUAUUAAUUGGAGCGGACGAGUGGCCACAUGUUGGGCAGUCAAGGUGUGGAGCCUCGCUGCGAACCUGGGUGCGACUACUGCGGCAAGAGGGCAGGGGAAUGGCCCUCUCAGCGCAUACAANNNNNNNNNNCGGCAUUCUCCAUCAGAGAGCACUACUCAUAUUUUUGCAAUUAGCUCAUACCGGACCUAAAAGAUUUAGGGAAAACUUAUUAAUUGGAGCAGACGAGUGGCCACAUGUUGGGCAGUCAAGGUGUGGAGCCGCUCUGCGAACCUGGGUGUGACUACUGCGGCAAGAGGGCAGGGGAAUGGCCCUCUCAGCGCAUACAAGGUUGGACAUAGCGAUACGACUGCUUUUCAUGAGCUAUGGUUGGCAGUUUAGUUUGUUAGAGUUAUCUUCGUGAUGCCUUUUGGCUUUUGUAUUCUAGUCUCUUGGCAUCCUCUUGUAGCCUUUUGGCA
This 76964-nucleotide long non-coding RNA is filed under the name Hordeum vulgare. Its description in RNAcentral is "long non-coding RNA (HVUL_LNC013308)". Lineage: Eukaryota; Viridiplantae; Streptophyta; Magnoliopsida; Poales; Poaceae. The record is from RNAcentral.